Molecule: long non-coding RNA, 63184 nt
Filed under: Solanum lycopersicum (tomato)
Lineage: Eukaryota; Viridiplantae; Streptophyta; Magnoliopsida; Solanales; Solanaceae
Description: long non-coding RNA (SLYC_LNC001142)
Source: RNAcentral
CAGAAUAUGCAUGGGCCAUUAUGAAUUGCGAGGCAGCAGAAUCAUCAGAUUUGGAUAAACGAUUAAGGCCGGGCUGUUCCCUGGGUAUCCAUUCAGAGCGAAAAGUUCGUGGAGGAAUCGAUGGUUGUUCGUAGCUAAUGUCAUGUGGGUUUGCCCCCGAGUCUCCAUAGCCAGAAUUUGAUAUUCUACCAGAUCCGGAGAAGCCAUCUUCUGUGAACCUAUCAAGUUUUUCUUCCUGAACAGCAACAGGAGAUGCUGAACUCUGAACUUCUUCCUGACUCUUCUCAUUAAUUUUAGAUUGCAUAACAUCGUUUCCAACAACUGCCGAAGCAGUGAAAUUCGGAACUUCAACUCUAGAAACGUGACUUGAGGCGGAAUCAUUCAGUGGGUUCGAGGAAACAACUUUUUUGCAUUCCAAAGGCCACAAUUUUUCAGGCUCAUUUAUUUUCUGAAAAGAGCUUUCUACCUUUAUAUUUCCCUCCUCAGGCACUUCCUUCUCUCGAGGUUUUGCUUUACUAAGUUCAAAAAUCUCCCGGGGAUAGUUAUCUCUUUUCAGAUUCACUACUGUGGCAUGUGAUUCUUGGUCAUUCAUAUGUGAGCUCUCGUAAGACUGCUUGGGAUCGAUGCCUCCUUUCCAGUUCAUGUAACCAUGACUCGAACUUAUAAGAAAGUUAUUUGUAAGUUGUGAAGAGUUGGGUAGUUGAUAACCAUGGUUAUACUGCACUUGCUUAGAUGGAAGAACCAGGUUUUUGCCACCUACACCUGGAAAGUUGUCAACUGGUAUGGAAGAGGGUAAAGGUUGCCAUUCAGUGCCACCAUGAUGUACAGUUUGACCCAAGUAUUCUAGUUGAUUGGAGUCAUGCCCCAAGUUUGACCCAAGUAUUCUAUGUGAUGAAAUUGAUACCCCUUCAUGAGCAGAUUGACUUGUUAGAGGCAUGCCAAUGACUGGAUCAGAAGUAUCAGCCCCUGCCACAUGCCUAGCAACUUGACCAUCCUCCCCAGCAAUUGUUGCACUCAGAAACUCAUCCAGGUUUUUUUCUGAAGUGCUUGCCAGAGCAGUGGAGUUUCUUCUUGAACCAAAGUCCAUGUUAUUUACAGCAAUAACAUACUGCAUUUCUGGAUCUCCUUCAAUAUUCUCCAAACCAGCCAGAGAAUCAUCCAAGUCACUGUAAGAAAAGAGAAAUGUACGCAAUUUUUGUGAUCCAUCACCUUCUAAUACAUUAAAUUCCUCUAUCAUAUUCUGCAAGUCUUCAUCACAAGAAACUGACACUAAUGCAUCAAGAUCCUCACCAGGAAGCUGAUAUUUUAUUGUGUGACAAUUGUUAAAUAAAGUUAACAUCUUUUGCCAGAAUUCCUCCCAAGAAACAUCAUUUCUUAAACGGACGAGGUGCGUAUCACCUCCAAUAUAUCUAAGUUUCCCAUCACUUGGACGAGGCAUAAUUCUACCACCAAAACUGCAGAGGAACUUCAACUUUGUUAAUGUACUAGAUCUAGAAGACAUUUGACUUUGAAUUCCAUGAAUGUUGUUAUUUCUUGAUAAGGCUCUAGUUUCAGUUUGCACAGCUUGAUGGUUGCUUAUACCUUCAUUUACAGAAGUAGACCUCCCGUGAUGUUGAACUCGAGUUUUUCCAACUGAGGUGAUCAUGGCGAUAUCUGAUCCACUUUCAGAACCUGUAUGAGAUAUUCCACUUUUGUCCUUCAGGUCCAUACAAGAAGUUGCACCAGCAGUACCCCCUGAAGCAUGAGGAAUGAGGUUCUGCUUUGGGUUAACUCUUUCGCGCAUGAAUUCCAGAGCAAACUCCUCGCCAGUCUGAAUGGAAUAGUUCAUUACAGGUCUAGCUGCAACUGGUAUAGUGAAAUCAGGAGGUCUUAUGUCUGUAUUGAUAGAACUUGAUGGAUCCUGGAAAAAUUUCUGGUUUGAAGAACCAAUGACCUCUGCUCUAGUGUCUAUAGAACUAUAACGAGCUUGUUCAAAGUUAUUUUGCUCAAAAUCUCUAUCCAUCUUAGGUUUUACCCCAUAAGGAGACUUCAGAUCCAUGAAACAGCAACCAAGUAGGCACUUUCAAUCACACCGGCACACUUCAUUCUCAGUAGGAUGUUUUAAAAAGAAAUGAGUAAUAACUGAUAUUAUUUAGAUUUUUUAAAGGUGAACAUUGAUCUAGCAGUUGGGUAGCAGAAGACCCUAGCCAAUAGGACAGAUGUGCUUUAGCUAAUCUCGCUUUAGUAAUCCUAACUGAGGACUUCUAAUGAUUUACCCUGAUCUUUCCCUUUUCAGAUAACAUUUGAUCCUCGCAAAGAGCUACAACCUGCACAGUGCACACCAACAUUUAGUCAAUCAUCAUUAACCAAAGAAAGUUAAGGUUUGACAUGUUACAUGUCCUAAGCAAGGUAACAUGCAUUAAUAUAUCAUUCAAAAUAUAGCUACCUUCCUAAAACUCAACCUCAAGGUCAAAACUUCUUUGCAGUCCGUAACAUUGUCAUCAAGUAGAGUCACUUCACACAAUCCAGCUUGUACCAAGCCAAGAUAAAAAAAAAUACUCUUAAGAAAUGCAUCAAAUACAAACCAAGUAGAGAAUACAUAUGAAUUACAUUCUUAAUUGGUGAUAAAGAAGGUCAAGAUCACAUGUUCAUUUAUGGUCGGUGCAAACAUCUUGUACUGGUGAGUUUUUUCCGCCGAAAAAUCCUCUCAAACUUUAGUUUUCUUCCAAAAGGAAUUAUUAUUUGCCAAUCAAGAUCAACUAAAUGAAGAGAGUGUCUAACAUUGUAAAAUAACAUAUCAGACACUUUUUUGUAAAAUAACAUAUCAGACACCCUUUUUUCUAACAAGCCAGAUUUCAUGACUCCUAGCAGGACACACUACACUUGAUGAUCAAGAGAACUCCGGAGAAGAUGUUUUAAAGAAAACCCAAUCCAAUGCAGCCUUUGAUUUCCUUGUUUUAUUUUCCUCACUCUUUUAACCUCCACAGCAAGUAAUUCCAUUUUUUUACUACCAUUACUAAAGUUUGAACUUAUAAUCUUUGAAUAAACUAAAAAAUGAGGUCCCGUAAUGUUUUUCUACAAUACUGACUCUAUAAAAUCUUUAGCACAAGAUCUACUUCCACCAACACUUUAAGGCUGUUAUGAGGUAAGCCAAAUUGAAACCUUUACCACCUCAGUUCAACUCAACUGUUUAAGACUUGGCAUCACGGUGCGCCUCAAACUCGAUAAAACAAUUAUCAAGCACUUAAAUAAGCAAGUCCAAGUAGAGAGGAACAAUAAUAUAAGGUUCCUGUAAACGAUCUCAACCAGUUCAACAUUGACACCGACAUAGUCAAUCAAAUGAUCAAAUUCCGCAAUAAGAUACUCAAAAAUCAAUAUUAGAUAUCCGAAACCCAAAUUUUCAGUUGAAUCAAGCUAAAAUACAAAAUAAUGCAAAACUUCAAAUUUCAAGCCAAAAAGAAUAUGAAAUAAGCGACUAAACAGUUUACCGUAAUAGAUAGAAGUUGUUAUCACAAACAGCUGUUGACCCUAGAUUUAAUCGGCGGCGGCGGCGAGCAGCGGCGGAAGCAAAUCGGCGAACGGAACUGAAAGAUAUUGAGAGAUCUCUGGUGUUUUGCCGUAGUUAAAAAGAGUCAAAUGUGGACUUGUUUGUGAAAUAUGGGGACUAAUGAAACAAUUUGCAUUAAGGCCAUUAAGUACGCUUAAAGAAUGGUACUUUUUCAUUGAGAUCUGGUACCUUUUUGGAUAAAGUAUCCUUUUGUCCCACUCAAAUACUUCGGCUGUUUGAGGUUUGGUAGAAAUCAAUUCUAACGAAAAAUCAAAUCAAAUCAAUUAGGUAAGUAACUUUUUUAUGGUACUGAUUUUAUUUUGUUAAAAAAUGAAGAAAUUAUUGAAUUGAAUCGAUCCAACAAAUUAUAUCAUUUUUUAUAAUUAGUUAUAGGGAUAAUGUAUAAGUACCCUCACAAUGUCAGAGACAUACUUAUAUUAUACUAAGGUUUCAUUAUUCCUCGACUUAUUUUAUUAAUAAUUUUCUAUCCCUUUUCGGUCUACGUGACACUAUCGUGUGGGCCCAACGAUGGUUGACUUUUUUCUUCAAGCUAUUGUCAACGUAGGUCGAAAAGGGGUAUAAAAUUACUUAUAAAAUAAGUUGAGGGGUAAUAGGAUCUUAGUAUAGUAUAAGUGUGUCUAUGGGAUUUCGGACAUAAGUUGAGGAGAUACUUGUGCAUUUUCCCUUAUUUAUAUACUAAUAAAAUUAUUCACGCUUUGCGCGAGACUUUGAUACCACGAAAUAUAUAUAUAUAAUAAUACUUAAAACCUAUCAGCUACUAAAACUAAAUCACUAUAUUAUCUUAUAUAAAAUAUUAAUAAUGUAAUGAAAAAUGAAAAUUAUUACAUCUUUAUCAUUCAUCAUUAAUAACAUAAGAAUAUGAAUUUCAUUAUAUGCUGAUGAAUGCACUAUUAAGGUUGAUAGGAUAUCAUUUGCAAGAGUGCUAGUUGAAAUGGAUAUGUAGCGAGGGAAUUGCCAAAGAAACUCAAAGUGGAGGAUCCAAAUGGGAGGGCAUUCGAUCAAUAUGAGUAGAUUCCAGAAUAUUGUUCUAAGUGUAUGCAGUUGGGCACAUAAGUGUACUACGAAAGAGGGGAACCAAUACAAAGCAAUUCCUAAAGUGAUGAAUAAAUGGGUUCCGAAGCAGGAUAAAAUGGCAGAGGGAACACAAAUAAUAAAUGGAGAAAAGCACAAGGGGAAGAAGAAAGUAAGUGAAGAGUAAGAAGUUUGGCAAUAGGUAUCUCCAAGUGCUAGAGGAGGCUCGAAUGUUAUGAUAAUGUAUCAAGGCUUAGGAUAACAAAUGUUUUGGAACAUUAAAGAGUAUGGAACAUGGAUCAGCAAGUGCAUUGGAGGAAACUGAAAUAGGAGUAGACGAGGAUGGAGACUUUCAAAAAAGAGUUGCAUGAAAUUAGACACUUGGAAUACAAGAGAAAUAAAUAAACUUCAUAAGCAAAAGGAAAUUAAAUUGUUUAUGAAGGAGAAUAAGGUAGACAUUAUAGUACUAUUAGAACAUAAAAUAAAGGAGCAAAAGCCAGAGAAAAUAAUACAAAAAAUAGCUCAAGGUUGGAAAUGGGAAACAAACUAUGAACACACUGAUAAUACAAAUAUGGCUAUUGUGGAAUCCUCAGGUGAUCGAUUGUGUGCUUUUGAGCAAAUCAUAUCAAUAUAUACAUAGGGGGUAGUAGUGAAAAGGAAUAACAUGAUAUUUUGUUUGCUGGUCAUUUAUGGGUUACAUACUAUUAAUGAGAGGUUAAAGUUAUGGGAAGAGCUAGGUAAAAUGGUGUCUAGUACGCAAGAUUCUUUGAUAUGUAAGGGGGACUUUAAUGCAGUAUUAACAGGAGAAGAUAAAAUAUAUGGUAAGCCAGUACAGGAGAUGGAAAUAAAGGAUUUUAAUGAUUUCAUGGUUGAUGUAGGAAUGACAGAAUUGAAGGCAAUAGGAAGAGGAUAUACCGGGUCAAAUGGGUGUACAUGUAGUAAAAUUGAUCGUGCAAUGAUGAAUGCUGAAUGGAUGUUGAAUAUGAGACAAAGAGAAAUUUGUGUAAUGCAACCUGGCACUUUUGAUCAUUCUCCACUGAGUAUGGAGCUAGACAGUACUAAAGAAGUCAAUCAAGAAGCCAUUAAAUUCUUCAAUUGUAUGACUAAUCAUCAUGAAUUCUUACAUAGGGUGAAAGAUGCAUGGAGCGGUGGACAGAACAGGGAUUUGAAGGAAGUAUGGCAUACACUCAAGAAGGUGAAAUAAAACACUAAACACCUCAACAGUAGAGAAUUUAUUGGGGUUAGAAACAAGGUUCAAGAUAUUAAUGGAAAAUUGCAUAUAAUAUCGGAGAAAAUGAGAGAUCCAGCAGAAGUUUGCCAUAAUAGACAACUGGGAAAAGAUUUUCAAGCUCAGCUAGAGAAAUGGAGUAUGAUUGCAAGAGAGCGAUAUGCAAUAGAAAUCCAGAAUUCAAUGGUUGAGGCUAGGUGAUGUAAAUAUUGCAUAUUUCUAUACACACAUGAAGAAUAGGGUGGUCCAAAAUACUAUCACAAGCCUUAUGACACCGUAUGGUACUAUAGUCUAGACACAAGAAGAAAUAGAGCUUGAAGUGAGUACAUUCUAAAAAAUCUUCUUGGGAAGGCUUCUCUGGAGUACCAAGUGUGAAUAUUGUAUUGUAAGAAAUGAUAAGUUUCUUAAUAGAAAACAACAAAUGUUACUAGAAGUUGAGAUGACAAGGGAGGAAGUCGAGAUGGCACUCAAAGGUAUGCAGGAUAUGAAAGCUCUAGGAUUGAGAAAGCCUGGACAGUAAUAGGUGAGGAUAUAGUGAAUGCAGUAUUAAACUUCUUUGGUACAAGACACAUAUAUGAGACCAUUAACUGUAAAGUGGUGACCCUUAUUCCAAAGAUUGCUAAUCCUACUAAGUUCGUGGAGUACAUGCCUAUCUCAUGUUGCAUAACUUUAUACAAGAUCGUUUUCAAAGUAAUUACCACAAGGUUGUAGAAGGUGAUGAGUUCACUUGUAGAUCCAAAUCAAUUAGAUUUUGUAUUAGGUAGAGCUAUAAAUGAUAAUAUUAUUCCGAGUCAUGAAUUAGUAAAGGGGUAUAGCAGGAAAAUAUUUUUAAUAGAUGUAUGAUUAAGGUGGAUACGAAAAAGACUAUAACUCCAUUACAUGGAGGUUUUUGGAGCAAGUAUUAUAUGAAUUGAAAGUUUUCAGAAAGACUGAUUAAGUGUAUAUUGCAAUGUGUUACCACUGAUACCUGUUUAACUCAGUCAAUGGGAAGUAUACAAGACCAUUCAAAGCUCAAAAGAGGGGUCAGAAAAAAGGAUUCUUUUAUUCCCCUUUCUAUUUGUAUUGGCAAUGGAUUAUCUCACUGGGAACUUAACAAGUCUACUCUCAAAUUAUGAUUUAUAUUAUCAUCCAAAAUGUCUUAAGCAGAGAAUUAUAUAACUGAGUUUGUGUUAAUGAUUUGUUGAUGUUUUGUACAGGCGAUAACAAGCCAGUCAGGAGUCUAUAUGACUGUUUUAUGGACUUCUCUAAUGAAUCAGGGUUGGUGGAAAAUGAGGAUAAAAACAGUGAGUACUUUGUUGGGGUAAAGCAGGCAAUAUAGGACCAGAUAAUACAGGAACUAAAGUUUGUAAAAGGUGAACUCCCAUUUAGAUACUUGAGAGUACCUUUGAGUACUAAAAGGGUCACUAUAGUGCAAUGUAAACCUGUUAUAGAUAAAAUGUUGAGUAGAGUAACUUGAUGUACCACUAAAUUCCUUUCUUAUGUUGAUAGAGUUCAAUUGGUGAAGAGUGUCCUAUUCUCAAUACAAACAUUUUGGGCACAAAUAUUUGCUCUCCCUACAAAGAUUUUACAUGCCAUUGAGAGUAUCUGUAGGAAGUUCUUGUGGACAAAUGUAGAGGCAUCAAAGAAAGAAUUAAUAGCGUGGGAACAACUAUGUUGGCCCAAGAAAAAUGGAGGAAUGAAUUUUCUAAUGUGUUCAUCUGGAACAAUGCUGCUAUAGGGGAACUCCUCCGGAAGUUAUGUAAGAAGAAGGACAAGUUAUAAGUGGUGUGUAUACAUAGCUAUUAUGGGAAGGAUGGAAUAUGGGGCAUCCAAACAAAUCAAGCAUCUUGACUUUUGCAGAGAAUUGUUAAAGCAUGUAAACAUUUAGAAGUUGUUGCGUGCAAUGAAUAAAGCUUGACACAGAUGGAGCAUUAUGUGAUUAAAUAGAUUUAUGAAAAGAUGAGAGGAAAUAGGAAGAAAGUUGAAUGGAAAAGACUGAUAUUGCCAAAUUUUACCUAUCUUUAGAAAAAUCACUUUUUGAAAUGUUCUAAGUAUAGAAUAAUUUUUUGAAAACUACUUAGAAAGAGUCAGCACUUAAUUUUUAAAAAAAAUCAAGAAAACUUAAUUUAUAAAGAUUUUAACAGAUUAAAUCUUUAUACAUUUAGAGAAAAUGGGUAAGCGGUUCUUAUUUACGCUUCACGAAGAUUUUUAAGGCAUUUGAAGCGUCCCCUAACAUGCGGUUAUCCUACGACUUAGGUUAAGUAUUUUUGACUAUUUUUUAGGAAAAUAAUUUGAUAUAAACAUAAUAAUAUUAAUUUAAAAUAUAUGACUAACUUAAGAAAAUAAUUAAAAGAAAAAUUAGUUUUUCAAGGAAAUGGGUAAUUAGUUGAAACAUUUAAUUUUUUUAGAAAAUGAGACCCUUAAUGAAAUUUUUGAAUUUUAACAAAAUUAGAGAAUGGGACCUUAAUUGAAAUAUUUAAUUUUUAAUUAAAAGUAAUUAGAAUUUUAACAAAAACUAUAUUAAUUGGAAAUUAUUCCAAUCAUUUUAGAAAAAUAUAUAAUUUGAACUUAAAUCAUUUUAAAUUGAUCGGAGAGUAAAUUGAGUUAACAUUUUGAGAAAAUGACUAAAGUAAGGAAAGAAAACCAUUUUUUAAGUUUAAUUGAGAACAAACAUCUUAACUUAAAAACACUUUUAAACUAAGUGAAAAUGUGUUAGGUGAUUUAAUUAAAGAACAUGUCUUUUUUAAGAACAAAUAGAUUUAAUUCAAUUAAUGACAUAAAAUUUUAUUAGUAAAAAAAAAGUAUCAAAAGUAAACCAACAUAACAAAACUAACUCAUCUUUUGGGAAAUCUAAUUAAGUUAAAUAAAAUAAAUUAUGGUUAGAGUUAAAAGAAAUAAGUCAAAUCAUAAUCAAAGCAAUUAAAGAAGUAAAAGAGAUAUGAAAUUGGGCCCCUUCUUGGGCCAAUUUCGCUGCAAAUUAUGGUAUUUAACCAAAUUCCCGAUUUUGUAUGCGUCGAAUGUAUAUUGGCGUGUAUACCAGCUUUUUCCAUGUAUCUUAUGCCUCCGAACACUUGUAUUUUGCCUUAUCUCUGUAUUUUCGCAUUUUUGGCCACAAAUUUGCUGCCAUGAACGUGUAUAUCACUGUAUAAACAUUGUAAACAUCAUUUAUACAGCCAAUUUUGCAGCUUUUGAACAUUUAUCAACUGAUUUCCAGCUGUUCGUUGUGUCUCCAGAACCUUUCUCGGGGCAGAGAACUCGAGACAACAAUGAGCUUCAGAGCAAUAAUUCUUCUACCACACAAUUCGAACACGAGCGGCCAACUAAGAAAAUCUGAGUGGUGAUCUUCUCGGAACUUACAAUUAGAGAGCUAAGUAUAAAAUUCUUGAGUAUAAAACGUCUGUAGCCCCAAAAAUUGUGUCCUUCAUCACUGAGAGCAAAGGGCUAUUUAUACUAAAAGGUUCUUGGGAGACUAAUCCGUUGGAUUUUGAAUCAAUUCAUUCUUUUUCGAUGCAACAACAAAAGGGGCUCCAAUGCUCCGCGAAAGGGGAAAAAAGGGAUGAGAAGGACGGCGACGUACACUGUAGCACCAUUUGGAGUCAGCUGAGUUUGAGGAAAAAGAAGCAGAAAGCGUACAUGGCACUGUUGGAUGCGACUUCUCGCUGGAUUUCAGCGUGCGUCUGACUUGCAACGUACUUUGCUGCUUUCUUUUCGCUGGUUUAUCGCUGAUUUUCAGAGGAGAAGGAAACCUACAGGGGUGGGUCGGGUAUUGUCGCUGAUGGAUCAGGCUUAUGUGUAUGAUACACAUUUAUGAUUGUUGUAGGGAAACUUACAUAAGUAUGAUGUAUUAAAAAAAUAUUCACCAUUUAUAGAAAUAAUAUUUUUAUUAUUUGACCACUUUUAAUUUAUUUAUAAUAAAAGUUUAAGACAUAUUACAAAGAACAAUUUAUUAUUCACAUAUAAUCAAGUUUUAAUGAUGGAUAAUAUAUUUAUCACACCUUUUAAUACACUUAUAAUACAAGAGAUAAUUUUUUAUCAAACAAACAUAAUAUAUUUCAAAAACAAUCAUAAUUUAAAUAUAUUGCGUACAUAAUUCACUUUUAAUACAUAUUACAAAUUAAUCACAAUAUUGCUAUAAAUGGUAAUAAACAAAAAAUAUCGCUGAAAUCAGUAAUUAUUUUGUAAAAUGUAUUAAUUACAGCUUUAUUUUUUAAAAUGUAUUAAUUAUGUAAUUUUUCCGUUGUUGUAUAUAUAUUGGAUUGAGGCUGAGAAUUAUUUGGUUUAUAGAAAGAGUGGGGCGACUGAAAAGGAAAAUGGGCUAAGAAAUAUUUGGUGUUGGUGAUAUUGGGCUGGUCAAUUGGUAUUGGGUCUUUUGCCAUUUUCGAAUUGGGCUGGCUGGCUGAAAAUUGAAUUCUUGUUGUUGAGCUAGAUUUUGACAUGAAAAGGCCCAAAAAUGGGUUCUUAUAAAUGGGUUUAAAGUGAGGUAAGGAGAGAGGUGAGAUUUGGAUUUAAGGAAUCCGAAUUGAAAUAAUUGACUAAUUCAACUAAGUUUUAAAUAAGAUGAAUUAAUAUUAAUUAAUUAACGAGAUUCUUAAUCCUAACAAAACAUAAAAAAUUUAACUUGAUUAUAAAUUAAUAACUAACCAAUAUAUACCAACUUAAAAUAAACUAAUUUAAUAAAAUAUUCAUAAACUAAUUUAAUAAAAUAUUCAACUAAAAAGUAAAAUCUUUUGAGAUGAUUUUCGAAUAUUCAUAAAUUAUUUUUUUAAUAUAUAAUUAUAUAGAACACAUAAAUUAUUUAAAAUUAUGAAAAAGCGACGAAACUAUUUAAAAUAACUUGCAAACUAUAUUUAUUAUUUUAUUUUUAUUUUGAAAUUCUUAUUAAACUAAAUAUUUUAAAUCGUUUGAAAUUUAAGAAGCUCGAUGAUUAAUUUAUAUAUUGGAGGGCCAAAAUUGGAUAUUAACAGAUGUACCUCGUUUUACUUGAAUUGAUGAAAUAAAUUCGAGGCAAAUGAAAUUGACGGGUCCAAUUUUGACCGACCACUUCUUCAUCCUCAAGAAAGGGAUUUUGGAACGGACUUUAGAAAUUAUGGCCGAUCCCCAGUAGCAGGCUUACUACAUAUCUCACGCUAUAUGAGAAGUCAGACCACUUGUAGUUCGAUAUGCUUGAUUUGACACACGAUUAUGAAAGAAUUCAGAAGCUAUCUCGAUAUCGAAUUAUGAGGAGAUUGAAAUGCUCGAGAACAAGAUUCGAUGGAGGAUAACGAAAUACAAUCGAGUUUUCAACAUUGAGCCCGCCUACAUAUCCUUAAAUCUUAGGAUUCAGGCUAUUUGUAGUUCGACUCUAUCGGUUGAAAAUGAAAUCUUUUAUGCAAGAUAACCUUUGGUUCUGGAGGAAUGACGAGUAAGUCAAGUGUGCAAAAGAGGCUUGCAACCUCUUAUCCAUGAAUGUGGUGCACUUCACGCCCAUAAUUAAGAACUUAAGUGGACAUAAUUUUCAAAGCUCGUGGUGCGCUGUCACUUAGAUUAGAAGUUGCCUUCUGUGAGAGUGAGAUGUUUCCCGGAUGCGAAAUUGAAAUCAAUGAACUAAGAGAAAAACCCGCACGCCUUUUGAUAGUGGUGUGGUUUGAUUGUGGAAGAAGUUGCUUCUCAAUUCGUGUCCUAGGAGUUUGAUACUUCUAUUUGGACUAUGUCCCAGUCGCUGCUAAAAAAAAGUUUCACAUUGUGUUACAUCCCUUUUGAUGUCGUCCCCACCUGUGAUUUGAUUUGAGUAUUCAUCCUCUCGGAUGCUCUCGACAAAUACUAGUGUAAAAUAUAAUUCAAAUGGAGAAAUAACAUCAUUUACCAUGUUGGAACUUAAUUGUUCUUCUUGAAUAUUUUACGUCAACUUUUUUCAAUUUGACGUAAAGCAAAUAAAGAAUGUAUCUCAUAUUUGCGACAUGACUCUUCACUGUACUCCUCUUUUAAUAUUGAAGUUGUGAAAUAGGCUAAUGUAAUAUGUUUAUGGUUUUCUUGAUGGUUGAAUAUGAUGGCCCUCUCGGCAGUUUGAAUAUGAAUGACACUUUCAGCAAUUUGAAGAUAAAUGUCCCUCUUGGUGUUUUGAACAUGAUGGCCUUCUCGGUGGUUUGAAUAUGAACGACCCUCUUGAUAAUUUAAAUAUGCAAUGGCCCUCUCGAUAGUUUGAAUAUGAAUGACCCUCUCGACAAUUUGAAUAUGAAUGGUCUUCUCGGCUGUUUGAAUAUGAAUGGCCCUUUCGGUGGUUUUGAAUAUGAAUGGUCCUCUAUUCAAUUUGAAUAUAAAUGCCCGUCUUGGCAUUUUCAUAUGCAAUGGCCCUUUUGACAAUUUAAAUAUGAAUGGCCCUCUCGGCGGUUUGAAUAUGAAUGACCCUCUCGGUGGUUCUGAAUAUGAAUGGUCCUUUUGGCGGCUUGAAUAUGAUGGCCCUCUCAGCGAUUUGAAAUGAAUGUCCCUUUUAGCGGUUUGAAUAUGACGGGCCUCUUGGCUUUGGAAUAUGAAUUGCCCUCUUGGCUUUUGAAUAUAAUGGCCCUCUCGGCGGUUUGAAUAUGAAUGGACUCUCGAUAAUUUUGAAUAUGAAUGGCCCUCUCAACUCUGUGAAUAUAAAUAAUGUCACAUCCGGGUUUACCCCUAGACAUAAUCGGCGUCAUUAACCUUUUCAAGGACUAAGACUAUCCUCUUAGUCACGUCAUUACAUUCAUAGGUUGAAAAAUGUGAAAAAAAUUUAAAACUUUCAUUAUAGCUACUUGGAGUUUUACAUAGACCUUUACAUACACAUAAUAUAUAGUCAUAUCGAGUAUACAUAGACUCUUCAUAUAGGAAGGUUACAUAGCCUUCUACUUUUAUUGCACAUACAUAUAUAUAAAAUAUUGAAAUAGUCUCAACAAUUGUCUCUUCUCCUACCAUCUAAUCGAUUAGCACAAUAUGGGCAUAACCCUUACAUCAAUCUAACAAGACCCCAUAUAGUUUAUACAAAAGUAUAGUACUCAAUUGAAAAAGAAAGAAAUGAAAUAGUCUUUAAACUCGUAACAAGCCUGUAAGCUAGAUGAUGACAUUGCCCUCGAAAGUUGAGGACCUACCCUACUUGGAUGAAAAGAAGAAUCCAAGUCUUCAACAAUGUCGCCUUCCAAACUCUUCAACGACCGGAACCUAAAAUGUUUAGGAAAAGGGGAAGACAAUGGGGUUAGUACUCCACAUUUACUAAGUAUAAGACCUUAUGCACAUACACAAGCAAAACAUUCUAUAAAGGGACUUUUUGUCAAAAAAUGCCAUUUUACCCAUUUAGGGACCUCGUGCAAAGCCAAGCAAGUCAUAUCAAUCAACCAAACAUGCUUACUAACUCAACAAGUAAUACCUAUCCCAACAUGCUUGAAAACCAUGAUUUAUACAACCCGAACAUCAAGGAAUAACAUCACAAGAAUGAAUAAGAGUCAAUCAUAUCAUAAUAAUAAAGACAACUACUCAUAAGUCCUUAUCAAGUCAACAAGUGCAAUGACCAAGCAAAGGCCUAUAACCUUACUCAAUCAAGUAUCCUCAACAAGAAAACAUGACCAAUGUCCAACUUUACACAACAUAACAUUUAAGUUUACAUUUCAUCAUAUAUUAACAUCAUAACCCAAGGCAUACUCAUGAGUGAACUAAUCAACAUAUAGUAUCAACAAUGUGCCAUAGUCAUCAUAUAUACAUCAUAUAUCAUCAUAGUAUAAACAUAUAUAAGAACCUCCUUCUAAGACUCCCCUCAAGGCUAACUAGUUCAAUGUUUAUGUAGAGUCACAUACCCCUAUCUAGACUAAGCUAAACCUCUUAGGUUAUCUAAGUUAGAGAAAAUCCUUUAAUUAGUUUUACCUUUUGGGAACAUCUUUCCCUAACCGACAUAAACCACAUGAGCUAGUGUGGAAUCCGGUGUCAUAAAACCCUACACCAAAAGAAGACGGACUACUUGCCAAGGUAGUACCAAAAUAUGAAACAUAGCAACUACGUGGAUCCUCUAGCUAGUAUUUCUAUAGGGGCAACAUAGUUCAAGAACUAGGAGAUAUAGUUGGGACCCUAUUUAUGUGCUAUGCAUUAUAGUCUCCAAUCUCAAGAGUAAUGUAGUGUUCCUACCUUCUCUAUGUGGGAAGGGACACUCCUCAAUCUAGUUCACUUAGUGCUAAGCUAGAGUCCCUUUUUGAAAUGUCUUUAAGCCUUUAAUUAUGAAUCAUAGCUUAGUUUAGGUCAUAGGUUCUACCCCUUGUAUAAUCAUCAUCAUCAAUAACUUAAUAAGAAUUGUACGAGUAUACAUACUUUCAUCACAAUCCAUAUAAGUGAGGUUAACACAAUAGCAUUUCAUAGCAUAUCAAGGCAUAUUGAUAGUUUUCACCAUCCUUGUAUCACAUACACCUUAAUCAACCCACAACAUAGUCAAGACAUUUCAUUUAAAUAUCAUACCACCCUAUAAUCCUAAUAUAAGGCAUACUCCAAUGUAAUAUCAUGACUUAACAACAAUUAAUCACAAUUGGAAUUAAAGAUAUAGAUUCUAAGACUUACCAAGUCAACCUCAUAGUCUACCAUCAACCCAUAUGUCAAUCCAAUUUGGGUAGUAUCAUCAUCACACAAUGAUAACCAAUAAGAUAACAAGGCCAAUUGCAUAUCUAUAACACAAUUCAACACUAAAUUAUAACUUAAGACAAGAUACAUAGGCUAAUUUCACAAUACAAUUCAUAACCUAAAUCACAUCUCAAGAACUAGAAUGAUAUUCCUAUAAUUCAUAUUAAUUUAAUCAUAAUAACACCAUAGGAUAGUAAUCUAGUCAACGACCAAAUCAAUUGAAUGAUUAUAAUACCUUAUAGGGUAAGAUCACAAUCUAGGGUUAGGGAUGGAGGAUCAUGUUCUUCAAUUUAGACCAAACCAUCAAAAAUUACCAUGAACAAGUUAAAAUUCAUGUUAAUCUACUCAAUAUAACCUAAAGAAAUCAUAAAAAACUCAAUCCAUAACUUUAAUUUCAUAAUUGAAUGAAACCCAUAAGAAAACUCAACUUUUGAAAUCCAUUUUGAAGGAACCCUUUGAGGAAAGAGUAUCAAAGGUGAAUUAGAUCCCAUACAUUAACAUUUGACAAUAAUUUGAUGGUGAAUUCAUCCCUUUCCAGUCCACAAACCCUUCUCCUUGCCAGUCUUCAAUGGUGAGUUCAAGUAGAGAGAGAAAGAAUAGAGAAGGAAGACAGUUUAUUUAUGAGUUGUCUUUAGAUUAAUGAGAGUUGGGAGUAUUUAUAUUGGGACUUAAUCAACUUAAUAGAAUCCUUAAACCCCUAAUUAAUCACAUAACCCCCUAACUAAUUAAAUGAGACUAACUUAAAUUGUGUAGGAAAUUUGACCCUCAUAGAAGAGAUCCCGAAUGACGGGCCGUCUAUGAGUCGACGGUCCCUCACCCCUCCGUCUUGCACUCCAUCGAUGAGUUCACAGACUAUGCAGGCAGAGGCCUUCCUCAGAUUGUCUAAGUAUGGGACGAUGGUGGCAUCGACGCCUCGUCAUUCCACACACGGACCGUAGGUGGUCCCGUUGAUGCCCACUGUCUAGGCCAUGUUUCUUCAAACACAAGGAUCCUUCUCAAGGGCCCUUGGUUGGUCAUUGGGGAGUCGUACCCAGACGUUUCAACCAUGAAAAUACUCAAAUACCUAUUAUAUACCCUUCCACCAAUUAUCAUACAUUUUCGACUCAUAAAAGUUUGUCAAAUAGGCUAAGACACACUAACACCCUUUUGAACUAACUUCCUAGACGUCAUGGACGUUCUUGAACAUUUUGGUUUAUAAAAUUCCUAAAUGAUAUAUGUUCAUUUAUAAAAUUGACUUAAAAACAUUACUUAGGCAUUAUGAUACCUACGUUAGGCUUUACAACACGUCUUGGAUUUUCAAAGUGUUACAAAAUGACCCUCUUGGAUGACCCUUUUGGCUUUUGAGUAUGAAUGACCCUCUCGGCGUUUUCAUAUGCAAUGAACCUUUUGGAAAUUUAAAUAUGAAUGUCUCUCUCAGCAGUUUGAAUAUGAAUGUCCCUUUUGGAGGCUUGAAUAUGAUGACCCUUUCGACAAUUUGAUAUGAUUGGCCCUCUCGACAGUUUGAUAUACAAUGACCCUUUUGAUAUUUUGAAUAUGGUGUCCCUCUUGGCAAUUAUUAUGCAAUGGCCUUUUCGGUGAUUUUGAUAUAAAUGCCCCUCUUGGAAUUUUCAUAUUCAAUGGACCUUUUGGUAAUUUAAAUAUGAAUGACCCUCUCGAUGUUUGAAUAUUAAUGCCCUUGUAGCGGCUUGAAUAUGAAUGAACUUCUCGGAAGUUUUGAAUAUGCAAUGACCCUCUUGGAAUUUUGAUUAUGAAUGACCAUCUCGACAAUUUAAAUAUUAGAUGGCCCUCUUGGCGGUUAUAGAUGAUGGAUCAAGUAGAGAUGUUUCACUCACUAUCAGAUAUUUGCUGAUAGGUUCUCCAGGAAUAGUUGGUUGAUAAAUAUAUUAUCUUCGAUGAUAUUAUUUUAUCCUGCACCCACAAAAAAUGAUAGUUGUGGAACACUGAUUUGUGUUGAUUUCUUCCAUUCGCCUCGCUUCUUGUCUCCCUAUCUUUGGAAGUUUGGUUGAUCCUACGAAUCGUAAUAGACAAAAGACAAAAUCAUAUUUAAAUUAGAACACUUGUUAUGUAUGAAGUUUUUUUUAAAAAUAUUUUUAAAGAAAAUCCCUGCCAAUUAAUUUUCACGACAUGCACGACACAAACAAACCUAUUAUCUCAAAUUUUGUCAAGAUAGGUAGUUUGUUGGCAACUUUAGAACUUCUUAAGAGUAUGUAACAUUGAGAACUUGAAGUUGACUUUGAUGUUUUUGUUGUGCGGAAUUUGAGAUAAUACGAGAAAAUAUAAACGCGAAAAACAAGACAACAGAUUUACGUGGUUCACCAAUAAAUUGGCUACGUCCACGGGAAGAGAGGGAGCAGUUUUAUUAUGGAGAGGCAAAAACAGAAUUACAGAAUAGGGUUUCCCAUAGCGUCUAUAUAUAGUGCUAAGUUACGCCCUAACAGGCUUGGGCCCAACAUACAGAAUCAACAGAAAAUUAAGGGCCCAAUACAACAACAUUGUAUACCGUCGGCCCGGGGGCGUCUCCGCCCCCCCGGACCCCCGUCCUUUCUGUUUGUAGCGGGUCCGAUUCAAGGCAUUCAACAGUUUUGAGUACCUUUGAUGAAAUUUUUGAGGUCCUCCUCAAAAAUUCUGUCCCAGUUAGAUAUCUUAGAACAAAUUUGAUGGUAAUCAUGGGAAUCAUGAUAUCUUGCGAAUUUUUGAGAUUUUCUCAAACUUAUGUUAUAUUCGGAUAUUUUGAUAUGAUCUUUGACCCUUGCUUAUAGGAAAAAACUCUUCAUGUAGAAUUUCUAAGAUCCUCUCAAAAACACUAUCCCAGUUUCUAUUAUGAAGGAAAAUGGAAAUCUUAUUGGGAAUAUGAUUGAACCAUUGUGGCGCCUACGUAUCUCGUUGAGGCAGGAAUCAGGUCAAACGUAGUUCCCUCUUGAGGAUUGACAGAAAUAAGAAAUUUUGAUAAGGAAAUGACCGAGGCCGACAAACGCCGCCUACGUAUCUCAUUCUUGAGAAUUCAGGUCGAACAUAGUUCAUGUACUCAUGGGAUUCUUCAAAACAUAGAGAGACAAUGAUUACAAGUAAAUUACGAUUACAAGGAAAUAAAGAAAAGAAGUAACAUUCUUCAAAUGUAGUAUCUUUUGACGGCAUUUGAAUGGAUAGCUUUGUGCCACACUCUACCGUCCAUCUCUGCUAGAACCAAGACUCCUCUUAAUAGUACUUUGUGGACAACAUACGGUCCUUGCGAGUUAGGUGGACAUUUUCCUUUGUAUUCGUCUUGAUGAGGGAAAAUGUGUUUCAACUCCAAUUGGCCUAUCCAAAUGUUCGAACUCGUACUUUCUUAUUGAAAGAGCGAGUCAUUCUCUGUUGAUACAACUGGCCAUGAAAAGCAACACUCAUUCUUUUAUCAUCAAUCAAUGUUAACUGCUCAUAUCAAUCACAAACCCAUUCGGCAUCGCUCAAUCCAACUUCCUGAAUCAUCCUCAAAGAUAGUAUCUUAACUUCAGCUGGUAUUACGACUUUUGUUCCGUAGACUAAUAGAUAUGGAGUUGCUCAAGUUGCAUAUCAAAUUGUGAUGCGAUAACCUAGCAAAGCAUAUGGCAAAUUUCUAUGCCAACAUUUGUAGGUGUCAACCAUCUUUCUCAAUAUCCUCUUGAUGUUCUUAUUAGCAGCUUCCAUAACUCCAUUCAUCUGAGGACGAUAUGUAGUUGAAUUAUAGUGGGUAAGUUUGAAUUGUUCACAUAUCUCUUUUAUCAAGUGACUAUUCAGAUUUGCACCAUUGUCUGUGAUGAGAGACUCAGGAACUCCAAAACGACAUACCAAAUUGUUGCGAACAAAAUCAGCUACAACUUUUCUUUGUCACAGCUUUAUAGGAAGCAACUUUGACCAACUUUGUAAAGUAAUCAAUGGCGACCAAAAUGAACCUGACUAUUGGAGGCAGCAGGCUCAAUUGGUCCAAUAACAUCCAUUCCCCAUGCUACAAAUGUCCAAGGAGAACUCAUUGCAUUGAGCUCGUGCGGAGGUACUUUGAUCAGAUUUCCAUGUACCUGAUAUUUAUGACAUCAUUGGACAAAUAUGACACAAUUAUUUUCCAUAGUCAUUCAGUAAGUAUUGCGCCCUUAAGAUUUUCUUUGCUAAUGUAAACCCAUUCUGUAGCAUCCACACAUCGCAAUAAUCCCAAAUCAGGAGUCCUCCUAUAAAGAACAUUCCCAUUCAAAAAGAAGUUGUUUGUCAUUUUUCGGAUUGUGUUUCUUUUGGAUACUUGUUGCUUUUUCGGGGUAUUCACCAGCUUCUAAUUACCUUUUCACAUCGGUAUACCAUGGAUUUCCAUCCAAUUUUGCUUCCACAUGCAAAUAAUAUCCUGGUUGUUCUUUUAAACCUAUCUCAAGCGGUUCAAUGUAACUCUUUUCUAGGUGUUGUAUCAUGGAUGAUAUGGUUGUGAGGGUAUUAGAAAACUCGUUAUCUAUUUUGGGGUGUUUCUGAACUCGGUCUUGCCUAAUCUCUUACACAACCUAUGUACCAUUUGAACGUAAGGUAAGAUUUUAGGAUUUUUCAUGGCCCAUUCUCCUCGAACUUGAUGAAUCAACAAGUCUGAAUUACCAAUUAUCACUGAUUCUUGAACAUUCAUGUCAAGAGCCAUUCUGAUGACAAGAAUACAAGCUUUGUACAACUAUGUUAUUUUUGCAUCAAAAUCUGAGCUAUGCUGUUGCUGGAAAAUGUUGCUCCGAUUCAAAUAUCAACACUGCUCCAAUUCUUGAUCCAUCAAAAAACAUUAUCUACCCAGGAUAUGAUUCUGAUAUAUCUUCCCCAGCAACAAUACCUCUUCAUCCGUGAAAUAUGUUCUAAGCAGUUCAUAUCCUUCAUGUACUGGGUUUUCAGCAAGGUGAAGUCCAAGGCUUGACCCUUAAUUGCUUUCUGAAUCAUGUACAUAAUUUCAAACUCACUCAACGACAUUUGCCACUUUGCUAGCUUUCUUGUAGGCAUUGCUUUCUGAAAUCUGUAUUUGAGCGGGUCCAUUCUGGAAAUGAGAUGUGUUGUAUAAGCUGACAGAUAAUGUCGCAAUUUCUGAGCCACCCUAGUCAUAGCACAACAAGUUCUAUCAAAGAGGGUGUAACGAGCCUUAUAGGAUAUGAAUUUCUUUCUCAAAUAGUGUAUAACUCUCUUUUUUUCCGGUCUCAUCAUGUUAUCCCAACACACACCCAAAUGCAUUGUUAGAGACGGAUAAUUACAAUAGCAAAGGACUUCCUAAACGUGGUGGCACCAAUAUUGAUGGAUUUAAAAGGUAAUUCUUGAUGGUGACAAAACCCUUCUGACAUUCUUCGGCCCAUUUAGUUGGCGCAUCCUUUCAUAGCAACUUGAAUAUGGGCUCACAUAUCACCGUUGAUUGAGCUAUGAAUCGAUUGAUGUAAUUCAGUCUCCCUAGAAAACUCGUUACUUCCUUCUUAGUCUUUGGAGGAGGCAAGUCUUGAAUUGUCUUGAUCUUGCAAGGAUCAAGUUCGAUAUCUCUUUUGCUAACUAUGAAUCCGAGUAACUUCCCUGCAGGUACUCCAAAUGCACAUUUUGCUGGGUUCAACUUCAAAUCAUACUAACCUGUCAAAGGGUGUUGUGUGUAAGUUUUGGUUCCUUUUCUGAGUGCAAUGGGAAGGUCAAGGUCAUUAGGUUUGUUAAAUUCUUCUUUAUCAUCAGUUUGGUUUGGUGUUUCGAAUGGUUCAACAAGUUCAAGAUGAGUAUUAGGAGUAGUAACGUAAGGAGAUGAUUGCAACUGAGUAGUUUGAUCAGUUAGUCUCUUUUUUCUCGAAUAUACCUGCAAUAGUAGAUUAUUUUCUAGAAUUUCAACAUCUAUAUUAACAUUAGGAGACUUAAUAGGCUCGUUUGUAUUUGGAGGCUAAUGUGAUUGAAGAAAUGGUAACUUAGGUAAGGAUUUGGCACGACUAGAAUAGACAAAUCAAAGAGUGAAAAGUCUAGAGGUUCCUCUCCAUUCAAUGAUUGCCCUUGAUUAAGAAUGAUUAAAAAGGAUUCACUCUCAUCAAAUGUGACAUCCACUGAAACAAAGAAUUUAUUUGAUGAUGGUUGAUGACACUUGUAACCUUUUUGAGUAGGAAAAUAUCCUAUGAAAAAAUACUUAAGAGCACGUGGGUCUAAUUUGUCUUUAUUUUGAGAAUGAAUAUGAUUAUAGGCAACAUCUUCAAAAGAUUCUAAGAAUCAAUCUAUUGGAUAUUUCAAAAUUUAAAAGAAAUCCUUAAGAGUGUGAAACGGACUUUGAAAGUUCAAAAUUCUUGAUCGUAUUCUGUUACUAAGAUUUGUAGCAGUUUUGACAACUAAAUCCCUCUCCCAAUACUGUUUUAACAAUUUUUUGUGUAACAAUAGUGAGCGUCUUUUGACAAAUGCAAUAUUUUGGACAUAAAUUUGCAUUUACAAACUGGCAUUGCAGUAUUCGACAACUUUUUCUUUUGGUGCACAAUAGAAUCGCUGAAGAGUACCAGAGCAGAGAAAAUGAAAAUGUUUUUUUUUCAUGCCUCUCUGCUAUCCAAUUUUGUUGAAAAGUAUUGACACAUGAAGAAUCAUGAAUAAUUUCCUCCUUUUGGAAGAAAACGGAGAGGUUUUUAUUAAAGUAGUCCUUGGUAUUAUUAGAUCGAGAUCUUUUAAUCGACACAUCAUAUUGGGUUCUGUUCAUAUUUAAAAAGGUAGGAAGAAUUUGACUGAUAUUUGAUUUUUGCUUUAGCAAAUAGAUCUGUGUAGCUCUUGUACAAUCAUGAAUGGAUGGAACAAACAAUCUAGUACCAAAAAUAUUAGGAAUGGGAAAGAGUCCCCAAAUAUCACUAUGAAUAAGAGAAAAAGGAAUUUGACAUCUUUUGUGGCUUUCUGGAAAGGAAACACAUUUAUGUUGUGCAAUUUUACAAUUAUCACAAUGAAAAGACUCAACAAUCAAACCUUUGAACAAAUAUGAAAACAUCCUUUUGAUUACGUAAAGGGAUGGGUGAACUAACCGGUGAUGAUAAAAUCAUACUUUCUCUUUAUUAGGUAUGGUAGAUAUAUUUAGUCAAACAAGAAUAAACUGGAGGGGAAAUUCUUAGCCAUAUAUUUAUCAUUUUAGAAAUAAAAAAAUAAAGAUCGCAUUUCUCACUAUCAUGCCAAUCAUUUCCUUCGUGUUCUAUUCUUGAAAUAAUAAAUAUGAAGGGAAGAAAGUUACUUGACAUUUGAAAUUUUUGAUGACUUUUUUGGAUUGAAAUGAAUUAGUAGAUAACUUUGGGAUAUGAAGGACAUCUUUAAGUAUCAAGGAUUUUCCAAGUGGUAUAUCUCAUUGUCCAACUAUAGUGAUAACUGAACCAUCAACUAUAGUUAUAUUUUAUAACUAGGAUAAAGGGAAUGUGAUAUGGAAAGAUGAGAGAGAAUGGUCAUGUGAUCAGUUGCCUUGAAAUCUACCACCUACAUAGGAGAAAGUUUGUUUGAGAGAUUAGUAAUAUAAGAGUAAGAAAUGCUUGUGAAGGCCAAUGAACAACUACCUGUUGAAGCUGAAUAUUGCAAAUCUCGAGUUAAAACUAUAAAUUAUUCUAUAUGGUUGCACAAACAUUUUCAGAGGCUGAAAUAUUUGCGGUAGUACCAUUUUAAAACAUGAUUUGGAUAAAUAAAAUAGCAAAAUGGGAUUUCUCAAUAUAAGAUGAAUAAAAUUGGUCAGGAAUAAGCUUAAAGCUCUGAUAUCGUAUUAAUAAGAUUGUUAAAUAACUUCAUUAAUAUAUAUCUAUGUCAUAUCAUGGCUUUAUAUAUACAUAAGAAAUUAUGAAUAGGAUCACCUAAAUUUCAAGAAAUCAGAACGAUACACGGAAAAUUUAAAACUUUUACAUAUGAAGUAUACUUAGACUUCUCGUUUAUCAUAUAUAAAGUUUACAUAGACUUCUCAUUUAUGAAGUAUACAUGGACUUCUCAUUUAUGCAAUAUAGACUAUUCAUUAAAGUAGCCUAAUAUAUGUCUCUCAUAAAACCAUAUAUCAUAGAAUCACAAGAUUUGGGCAUAUCCCUUACACUAGUACUGUAUGCCAUAUAUAGUAUUACAACAAAGUCUCUAAUAUAAGGAAAGAACAAGUGUCUUAAACCUAGUCAAUACAAAUGAAGAUAGAAAGUGGCAUCAUCCUCUGACUUGAGGACUCACCGACAACUUGGAAAAAGAUCUGAAUCUUUCUUGAAAUUAGCCUUGAAAACUCUUCAAUGGCUCGAACCUACAUAUUAUAGAAAUAUAAAGAAUAUGCGUUAGUACAAACCACAUGUACUAAGUAUGAAAACAUAUACAAUUAAACCUUUGAAAUCAUUAACAAAAGGGACCUACAUGCUAAGUCAUUUCGAAAUCCUUCAUACACACACUAAAGCAUAUACAAGUCAAUUAUCACAACAACAUCAAUACAUGUUCAUAUAUACAAUAAUACCAUCAUAAAGUCAUAUCAAAAUUUUAUGUUCUAGAAUUCAUAUCAUUAAAACAUACAACACCCUUACUGACAAUUCCAUCCCAAGCCUACAAGUGCAAUGCUCAUGUGAAGUCCCAUAACCCCACACAAUCAAGUAAACUAGUUAAGAAACCAUAAGCAAUUCUUUUACUUCUUAUAACAUAACAUCAUGUGUAGUCAUCAUCAUAUAUAGCAAUUUAGACCAAUAUCAUGCUCAUCAAAUUCAACCAACAUCAUAUAAGAGCAACAUCAUGUAUAACCAUACAUAUAUACAUUUCAUUUAAAACAUAAGUGCAUAAGAACAACCUCCAAUGACUCCCUCCAAGGUUAACUUGUGCAACGCAUAGGUAAAAUCUCAUACCCUUACCCACACUAAGUAGAUACCCUUAAGGUCACCUUAGUUAGUGUCCAUCUUUAUUACAUUCAUUUAAUCAUUUUACUUUCAGGAAAAAUCGCCUUAACCGAUAAUAGACUUUGUGAGCUAAACAUGGAAUACGGUGUCAUGAAACCUUACAACGAAAGAAUGUUCUCUACUUGCCAAGGUAGAACCAUAACAUGAACAUAACAUUCUAAGUGGAUCCACUAGAUAGUUUUCCUAUAGGGGAAACAUAGAUAAAGAACUAAGAGAUUUACUAGAAAAUCAACUAUGCAUAUCGCAUGUUAGUCUCCAUCUCAUGAGAACCAUUCCCUCAUUGGGAAAGGACACCUCUCAUACCUAGUUCGCUCGGUGCUAAGCAAAAGUCCCUUUUUGAAAUGUCUUUAAGCCUUUCUUUAUCAUCAAUUCUUAAUAUAGGCCAUAGGAGACUAAACCUUUGUAUAGUCAUGUAAUUAGCUAAUUAGCUUUAUAAUUAAAACUUCCUUUCAUCACAACCCAACAUUAGUAAGAUCAUUACAUCAUAGUCAUAUCAUAAAAAGGCACACAAAAAAAUCACUUUCAACCUUGCAUCAUCAUACCCCUAUCAAGAUCUCACAUUGAACAUAUUCAUAACAUGCCAUAAUAUUCAUCAUAUCAUCAUCAUCUUCCUAUUCUAUUCACAUAAUCAUACUUCAAUUGAACAUCAUCAUCAAGAAUAGACCAAUAUAAUUCAAGUAAAGUAUUCAUAAUCUCAAAAGUCUUACCAAUGUAUUCAAAAAGGAUCUCCUUCAAGAUAUUACCAUCAAUUUCACCACAUUCAACCAAUAACCCAAUCAUUAUCAUCAUAUAAUUGUAGAUUAAGUUAUAACAUAUCCAAUUGCAACAUCCCUAAUCAUCUAUAAGCCUAAUUCAUAAUUGGGGUUAAAGAAAAGAUUUCAUCAUGGAUCUUUUAGAGAAACUAGGUCAAAUACUAAGAAACUAAAAAGUCAACCAUUAAACAUUCAUAAUCUAUCAAUAUAAACCAAAGGAAUGCAACAUUAAAUCUAUUUGAAAGGUAACCCACGAAAUUUGAUGAAAACCAUAAUUUUAGACAUCUAUGGAAUCCAAUUUUGAAGAGCCUCUUAGGGAAAGAGAUCCAAAGAAUAAAUUCCAUACUUUAACAAUCCUUGAAGAAUGAUGGAGGAAAACAUGACACUUGAAGCCCUAGUGAAUCUUGAACCUUGGUCUUGAAUGGAGGGUCUUUGAGAUAGAGAGAGAGAGUAGAGAGAUGCGGGAGUAAAUUGGGUUUAGGAAAUAAUGAAGUGUUAGGUUAGUUUAAUGAAGUAUAACUCUUAUAUAGUCCUUAAUUAACUUAAUUAACCACCCCUUUAUCCCUAAUUAAUUCAUUAACUAAUUAACUGAUUAUCCUAACUUAAACUAUAACUUGGCAGUGAAGUGGAUGACCAAACUACGACUCCACAUCAACGUUCCGUCGACCAAACCACAAACCGUACUGGUAGUCCGUGGUUUUGCUUAGAGACUCCUUUUUGGAGCUUUUUUGGUAUUUGGCUAAUUCCCCACCAUGAGCACCAUCGACAGGCCGUUGAGCUAUCGACGACUCAUUGUCUGCUCUGUUGUUUUCCUACUGUAAAUUGACAACUUUUAGGGUCAAUUGUUAGGGUCCUCUUCAAGGACCUUUAGGGUGGUCUUUGGGUAGUCGUACCCUGAAGUUUCGACCCUAAACACGCUCUUAUAAGUAUUUCAACAUUUUCCACCAAAUUUGACCUUUUACCGACUCUUUUAACCCCUUGAAACACACCAAGGCACACUAGCUCAUCUUUCAUAAAUCUCUGAACGUCAUGGUCAUUUCUUGAUGUUUUGAUUCUAAUACUUCCUAAUCAAGUUAAUUACCUUUUCUUAAGCUUAGAAACACUGUUAUAAGGAUUAGUUCAUCAAGUGAGGCUCUAGACUAAGUCAUGGACUUUUGAAGUGUUACAAAUAUAUGAUCCAAUUUCAUGAACUGGUGGACAACCGUACAAAGCUACUAAAAUGAGUACAAACUCCAUAAAUAAGCAAAAUAACUAAAUACUUGUGUCGAAUACAAAAGACUAUACAAAAACUGUAUACAAAAAAAGAUGAGUUAAACAAGAACGCCAUCAACUAACCUUCUAUCUUUGAAUGUCCCAGAACUUGUACACAAGAUCAACAUGGUUGGCUGGUGCUAAGGUUUGCAUUAGGAAAAAAGAUGCAAAGUAUAACAUGACUACCAAAAUAAUCGGUAUCUAAUAGACAUCAAAGACCGACUGAGCUUGGAAAUUAAAUACUCAAUGAAAAGAGGGAAGUAAAAUGGUAUCAAAGAGGCAGAAAAAUGGAAUAAUAAUGAGAAGUCUAACCAUGCGCCUCAAUAUUCUAGCAAAAAGCAGGACAAUAAAGUAAAGCAACUGUAACGAUUCGGGAGUACCCCCUAGUCGCACACGACGUACUUGACCUAUCGAAGGUCUUAUACAAGCCUGUUAGCUUCAUUAUAUAACAUCGUAUAAAAAUGGAGGGAUUUAAAAACUUUUCUUUAAACAUAAUACAAAAGUCAUUUUAUAAUAGCGGAAGUAUUUCUAACAUGUGUCUCAAAACCAUCUAUGAAAUCAUGAGUAAUAAUGUUUUUGAACGCAGCGCACAAAAGUCUAAAACAUAGUAAAUGACAUAAAGGGAACAUAAGGGUGUUGUCCUCAAAUGCUAUGAGGAUUCACCAAUUUUCAAUAUUCUCCGAACUUAGGAACCUAGCAUCCAAACACUCAAUCUCCCAAAAGCCCCUACAUUUGGUUAGAAAUGUAGGCAAUAUGUGUACGUUAGUUCAAAGAACUAAGUAAAAAAUUUAACAUAUGAAACAUAAGAUAUCUCAAGGGUUAGUCAAUAUAAGAAUAAUCAUAAGAGAUAAUAACAUAGUCAUAACAUAAAUCCAACAUAGGCAUUCUAAUAUAUAGUAACAAAUCAUAAGACACACUUAAGUUCAUACUUCCACUACUUGUCCUUCUUACUCAAGUUAAUUACAUCACAAGCCACCUCCAAGUAUAUUUGUGCAAGACCAAGGUAGAAUCCCAUACUACUACCUUAUAUAAGUACCUCUCUUUGGUCAUUCUUGAUCAUAAUCAAAUUUUAUAAUUAACACCUAAAUUUUUCGUGACAAAAGAGCACUAUACCCCUAGAUCACCUCAAGGAACACUUGUGCAAUGCAUGUGGGGCAUCCCAUUCGACCACAUACACUAAGAAUAUCUUGAAGUUACCUUAUUCACUUUCUCAACUCUACGUGUCACUAAUAGACCUACUUCAUCAUGACAAGGAACUAUUAUCUUAAGUCAAUCAUAACAUGGAAGACAACUAAUGCAACUAUACAAGCUAUUCGUACAUAAAAUAAGAGGUCAUUUCAUAGGUAGCUUUAAGUCAUACUUGUGCCAUGUAUGAAUGACAUCCCAUACUAGCAUUCAUACUAAGUACUUCCUUAAGCUAACCUAAUCCAUGCUAACUUAUCUUACAUUCUAUCUACUGAAAUGAGCAUACUAACAUAAUAGACCACUUCCAUGGAAAACAUCAUCAUCACAUUCAAUACAAGAUAACAAAGGAAAGAUAUAAAGAUACUAACCUAGCCACCAUGAAACCAUUCAUGUAGAUUUAAGCUAUCUAUAGGGGAGCAUAAGUCCUCAACCAUAAGCUAUUCUUAGGAGAGUGUAACAUCUCAAUCCUAAGUUACCAUGAAGUGGUCUUGGCCUAACCAAAUCAAGCUCCCAUGAAGACAUUCUAGUCAUGCUACUCCAAGCUAACCCUAGGAGAUUAUUGAUCCUUCAUUCUAGGCUACCGUUCCUACUAAUAAUGCAAGCUACCAUAACAAACAUUCAACCAAUACAAGAUCAAGCUAACCUCAAGAGAUCUUACUUCCUCAAUACCAAGCUAUCAUGAGACACACCAUCCCAAGAUACCAUGAGAUCUACUAUCCCAAGCUAUCAUGAUUCAACUAUUCAUGAGGGAAUCCAUAAGUUCAACCUCAAGCUAUUAUACUUUAACAAGCAUGAUUCACUUUAGAUGAUUAACUUUUCACAUUCUACAUACAUGCAAACUACACAUAAUAUUAGACUCUUCUACAAGCCUUAGUGAUCAACAAUAUGACUUCAAUCCAUUCCUUCAAACUUUACUUCAUGAGCUCAUACUAGUCUAGAUUUCAAGACACAUUAGUUCUAAGCCUUAGUCAUCAGACAAUUCUGAACACACUUCAUCAUAAAGUCCCAAUUCUAAUCAAUCCAAUUCACUUUCUAUCAUAUAUUCAUACAUCUAGGUUAAUUCAUGAUUUCAUAAUUCUAUUAUUUAUGAAGUCCUAUACAUAUUAAUAAUUCAAGACAAUCUAACAAGAAUCACCAAUUUCUCAUUCAAAACCUAAACCCACAUAAUCUAGAAAUUAGGGUUAAUCAUAAAUUCUUUAUAAUCACAUGAAUCAACAUCAAUUUAAUCAUAUAUGAGCAGUAUCCAACCAUUUGGAAUCAUACCCACCUAAAACCCAAGCAUUGGAAGUAACCCUACUUUAAUCGGGGUUCUUCUCCACAGAUUUGGGGAAAUUCUAGAGGAAUGCAUGGGUGGAAGAACCCAUGGAUGAAGAGCUUUACAUACCUUAAACAAACUUCAAUCAGGGGGGGGGAAUUCGACCUAAGAUGUUGCCUCUUCCCUUUUCUUCUUCUUCUUCUUCUUCUUCUUCUCUUCUUCUUCUUCUUCUUCUUCUUCUUCUUCUUCUUCUUCUUCUUCUUCUUCAAGAUUUGGAUUCUUUCUAGAGAGAGAAUCAUUUGAGUUGAGAGGAUUUGGGGUUUCUCGGAUUGGGUCUAAUGAAAAGUGAUUUUUUUGAGGGCUAUUUAACAAUUUUUUUAAAUAAAUCCCGAAGGUACCACAAAGCAAUCCUACUUUAAUUGGACUUAAAAUCAAUCAUCCAACUUAACUUUAAUUGUUGCAAGUGUCAUCGUGGAAGAAGUCCGCGACACAGAGAUGUUCCCUAGCUUCACUAAAAUAGGAUGGUGGAACAGAAUAGUCAGCGACAGCUCCGCAGCGUGGAGGUAGAUUUUGACCUUUGGGGGAGCAGGUCCGCGACACGAGCCACUCCCUAACGGUACUUCCCAAGGCUGCCAAGGCAGCUUCUUUAUACUCAAUUUCACCUCCAUUUUGACCUCGAGGACCCUUAGGGUUGUCCUCAGAGAGUUGUACCUUAACGUUUUGGCACUAAACAUGUCCAUAUAGGUGUAGGAAUCCUUUAUACUCAAUUUCACCUCCAUAUGACACCCAAAAACUCAACCAAAAAAGCCUAUGUCACACUAGUUCAACUAUGAUAGUUUAUGGACGUCUUGGUCGUCCUGUGAAGUUUCUCUUCUAAAAUUACCAAUCAAAGUUAAUGGCAAUAAAUUAGGUCUAUAAAUCAUUUUAACCCUUUUUAAGUUAUUAGGCCUCAUGUAGGGCUCUAGGUCGUCCUAUUUCAUUUUGAGGGUCAUAUGACAAUAUUCUCCACUUGGGAACAUUCGUCCUCGAAUGACACCUUUCUUAACACUUCUUAAAGGACCAAAUAUAAACUAGUAGCCCAUCGUGUAUGAAUUAUUUCUAAAUUAACGCACCGAACCAAGGAGACUUCAAUUCCAAGAUAGACAUACCUAAUGCAACUCAAGAUGAAUGAAGGAUACAUACUUACUAAAUUUCCAAGGAGAAUUAACUUCUCCAAGAUACAACAUGUUCAACAUAACUUUAUGGAGCCUAAAAUGCUCAUUGACUCAAUUGUGUCACAACAAUAGACAAUUCCAUGAAACUAGAUCAAUUCUAACAAGGUCUAGACACCUUCAUAACAUUCAAGGAAAACCAUGGCUACAUUUAAUCAUAUCAAAACCUUAUGGAAAUGGCUCACUAUCCCUCACUUGGGAGUUAAGACCGCACAUAUCUUUAUAACAUCAAAAUUCAUCAUAAUAAGGGCAAUCAUCAAGUCCAAAAAGCAAGUCAUAAAAUAAGAAAAUCUUGAAAUUUUCAUAAAUCAUCAAAGAAGCACAUUACCGGAAAGGUACAUGAGGAGAUUACUUUUUUAUCUUCCUUGGAUUGGAGAGAUAGAACCUAUUCCUUUAUAAGAGGAGCAUCUUCCACAUCACUAGUAGCAACUUUCUUGCCUCCCUCACAUUAGCCUUUGCCUUAAGGCAAUCCUUCUUCAUGUGUCCACUCUUACCACAACCAUAACAACCAUUCUAUCGGUCAAACACCGAUCCUCAUGUAUUUUACCACACCUAUAACAAGUAGUCCAGUGGUCUAGGGUUAGACACCUUCUCAUCCUUAUACUUUGGGAGCAUUAGAAUAACCUUGUCCGGAAAACUUUUGUCGAUUCUUAGAACGAUCAUGUCCCUCGGACCCAUUAUUGUCCACCCUAUCCCUCUUUCUCUCCUUCUUAUGUUUUGACUCCUCUAAUUUUUGGGAAAACAUUGAGGCGUGAGAUAUCCAUAUCAUCAACAAGCAUUGCCAUACAACAUUCUUCUUCUACUAGUUCAGACACCUCUGUCAUGAACCUAUUCAUCAAAUCCCUAGGACUUGCUACCAAAUAUGGAGCAUAUUUAGACAAAAGAGUGAACUUCAAGGGCAUACUCUUUAACACUCAUAUUGCCUUGCUUAUAUGAAUUCCUCCAACUUAGCCUCUUUUUCUGUAGGAAAGAACCUAUCAAGGAAAGUCAACUUAAAAGUUUCGCACUCUAAGGACCCUCCCCUAGAUCACCUUAAGGCACACUUGUUCAAUGCAUGUGGGCAUCCCAUUAUACCACACACAAAGCAUAUACUGAAUUCAGCCUAUUCACUUUCGUCAACUCUAGGUGUCACUAAUAAACAUACUUCAUCUUGACAAUGAACUAUUAUCUUAAGUCAAUCAUAUCAUGGAAGGAAACUAAAACAACUAUCCAAGCUAGUCAUACAUCACAUAAGAGGUCAUUUCAUAGGUAGGUUCAAGUCAUACUUGUGAUAUAUAUGAAUUACAUCUCAUACUACCAUUCAUACUAAGUACUUCCUUAGGCUAACCUAAUCCAUUCUAACAUAUCUUACAUUCUAGUUUGUUGAAAUUAACAUACUAACAUAAUAUACCAAAUUCCGUGGAAAACAUCAUCUCAUAAAAUCCAAGAUAAUAAAAGGAGGGAUAUAAGAAUACCAACCUAGACACCAUGCAACCAUUCAUGUAGAUGCAAGCUAUCUAUAGGGGAACAUAAAUCCUCAACCAUAACCUAUUCUUAAGAGAGUGUAACAACCCAAUCCUAAGCUACCAUGAAGUGUUCUUAGCCUAACCAAAUCAAGAUCACAUGAAGGCAAUCUAGUCAUCUACUCCAAGCUAACCCUAAGAGAGUAUAGAUCCUCCAUCCUAGGUUACUUUGCCUACUAUUAAUGCAAGCUACCAUGACAAACAUUUUAUAAAUGCAAGAUCAAGCUAACCUUAAAAGAGCUAACUUCCGCAAUCGCAAGCUAUCACGAGAAAAACCAUCCCAAGCUACCAUGAGAUCUAAUAUCCCAAGCUAUCAUGAUUCAAAUAUCCAUGAGGAAAUCCAUGGGUUCAACCUCAUUCUAUUUUAUUCUAACAAGCAUGACUAAUUUUAGGUGAUUAACCUUUCACAUUAUACAUGUAUGCAAGCUACUCAUCAUAUUAGACUCAUUCUACAAGCCCUAGUGAUCAACAAUAUGACUUCAAGCCCUACCUCUAACAUUAUUUCAUGAUCCUCGUACUAGUCUAGAUUUCAAGAUACAUUAGUUCUAAGCCUUAGUCAUAAGUCAAUUCUAAACAUACUUCAUCAUAAAGUCCCAAUUCUAAUCAAUCCAAUUCACUUUCUAUCAUACAUGCAUACAUCUAUGUUAAUUCACUAUUUCGUAAUUUUAUUCUUGAUUAAGUCCUAUACAUAUUAAUAAUUCAAGAGAAUCCAACAAGAAUUAUCAAUUUCUCAUUCUAAGCCUGAACUCACAUAAUCUAGAAAUUAGGGUUAAUCAUGAAUUCAACAUAAAUUCUUCAUAAUCACAUGAAUCAACAUCAAUUAAUCAUAUAUAAGUAGUAUCCAACUAUCUUGAAUAAUACCCACCUAAAACCCAUGCAUUGGAAGUAACCCUACCUUAAUUGGGGUCCUUCUUUACAAAUUAGGGGAAAUUCUAGGGGACUCCACGGGUGGAAGAACCCAUGGAUGAAGAGCUUUACAUACCUUAAACAACCUUCAAUCAAUGGGGGAAAUUCGACCUAAGAUGCUGCCCCUUCCCUUCUCUUCUUCUUCUUCAAGCUUUGGUUUCUUUCUAGAGGGAGAAUUAUUUGAGUUGAGAGGAUUUGGGGUUUUUGGAUUGGGUAUAAUGAAAAAUGACUUUUAUUGAGGUCUAAAUGACUAAAAAGACAUUUUUAAUAAAUCCCCAAGGUACCACAAAGUAAUCCUACAUUAAUUGGACUUAAAAGUAAUCAUCCAACAUAACUUUAAAUGUUGUAGGUGUCAUCGUGGAAUAAGUACGCAACGCGGAGUUGUUCCCUAGAUUCACAAAAAAGAAGGGUGGAACAGAAGAGUCUGCGACAACCUCCAUGACACGGAGGUAGAUUUUGACCUUUGGGGGAGAAGUUUCGCGACGAAGCCACUCCUUAAAGGUACUGCCCAAGGCAGCUUCUUUGGCCAACGUUGGAUGAUCCUUAGGGUGGUCCUCGGAUAGUCGUAUCCAAACGUUUUGAACCUAAACAUGUCACCCUUUUACGUAAUUUCACCUCCAUACGACACUCAAAAACUCAACUAAAAAAUCCAACGUCACACUAGUUCAACUAGGCUGGUUUUCAUACCUUGGUCGUCCUUUGACGUUUUGAUUCUAAAAUUACCUAAAUAAGUUAAUGACAAUAUAUUAGGUGUAGAAACAUCAUUUUUAACCCUUUUAUGGAUAUUAGACCUCAUGUAGGGCUCUAGAUCAUCCUAUUUCAUUUUGAGGGUCAUGAUAGCAACCUUUUAGGCCUACAUAAGCCUAGAAGGUACACUCGUGUACACCCGAUGAAUACAUAAAAGAGCUAAAGUUAUUCCUAACUAAUGUCUUAUUUUUUUACACUUAAUGGAGGUUUGAAUCUUAAUUAUUCAGAUUCAGCCCAUUAAUUACAUUUGAAUUUUAGGUCUGAAUCUGAAUCAUUCAAAUUUAGCCCAUUAAGUUCAUUUAUUUUAUUUUCUAAAAAACCUCUUAAUGAGUUUGAAUAGGUUUGAACGAAUCAGAUCUGUAGGAGACUCUUAACAACAUUCCGACUUAUUUGAUAAGAUAUCAAAUAAUAAAUCAUAGCUUUUCUGCUUUGGGCGUGCCUUUUUAUCUCAUAACUAAAAAAUUUCUUUCUCAUUUUUCUCAAUCAAACACCAUUUUUUCCCAAUUGGUAAGUUUUCAUAAAUCUUUUCAACUAUUUUUUUAUAUUAAUAAUUUUCUUAUAUUGAUGUGCGUCAAGAAAACUGGUUGCAAUGAUAUUUUUGGUAUAUUGUUGUUUAUCAAGGUUUUUGAAUGAAAAAAUAGUACUCCAAAUCUUGAUUAUUAAAAAUUUUAAAACUUUUUUUUUAUCAAAAGUGAUAUAUUAUGUUGAAAUGAAAAUGUUAUAAUAUUUUAUUAAUAUAAUGUUCAAUUUCAGUUCCACAUUCUGAUAUCGAAAACAAACAAGUUAAUUAUUUAGUGUUCAAAUUUAGAGACCACAUCUUAAUAUUCAGAUGUGUAUUCAGAUUAAAACACCUAGAUCUUAAUGCAAAUCUUAAUAUCCCGUGUGUAUUCAAUUUUAGACCUCUUAAUCUCAAUAGAAAAAAAUGGGGCCUAUGAUUAGAUAUAUCUAGAACUAGAAAGUCUGAAACCCAGACUCGAGUUGCACUAAGGGGCCCAAAGCAUCCAAUGAAAACAUGUUGUCGGGACUCAAAUCCGACUAAUAAUCUAAAAGGUUGACACAUAUAUAGUCAGCAUAACUCUUAUUCCUGCUCUGUGCUAAUCUAAGCAUAUCCUGAAUCACACGAACAAUAUGCAAAGCCUUUUAAUGCAAAUCAAUACCACGUGGCCUAGGAUUUGAAGCCUCUAAUAGGAGAGCGACAACUCCGACCGUAUAAGGCCUUAAAUGGAACAAUCUGAAUACUCAAAUGGUAGAUGUUGUUAUAUAUACACAAACUCUGUUAAGGUUAAGAACUUGUCUCAUUGACCUCCAAAAUCCAACAUAUAUGCCUGAAACAUAUCUUCCAAACCUGAUUAGCCUGCUUCAAUUGCUAGUCAGUCUGCAGAUGAAUAGUUGUGUUAAGGUCCACUCACCCAACCCCUCCUAAAGGUUUCUCUAGAAGCUAAAAGUGAAAUGAGAAUAUGUAUCAUAGAUAAUAUAUUCAUGCAUCCCAUGUUGACGAACUACCUCCUGAAUAUGCAGUAAGCUAACCUCUCAACACUUAAAGAAGACUGAAUGGUAAUUAAAUAUGCAGGAUUCGCCAAUCAAUCAACGACUACCCAAAUACUAUCGACACCUCUAAAAGUUUGAGGCAAUUCCAUAACAAAACCAUAGGGAUGCAUUACUAUUUGAAAUUUGAAAGGGUAAUCUCUUGAACUUAAUAAAUAAUUUUAACGUAUAAUUACUCUAUUAACUAUAAGUCAUCUAAAUAGUUAAAUUUCCCAGCAACUACUAAAACCUUCUUUCAUGAUUUACCAUGUGCAUUAAUUAGUUAAUGUUAUUAUCAAUGUGCAAUUUCAUCUAUAAAAAGGCAUAGCCACACAAAAUGAAAUUCACCAAAUCAAUAAACUCAAAGAGAGAGAGAGAGAGAGAGAGAGAGAGAGAGAGAGAGUACAUUAAAAACUUGAAGUAGUUGAAAAAUGGCUGGUGAGAAAGAAAUAACAAAAGUGGCAAUUAAUAAGUAUAGGCGGUUCCCGCAUGAAGAUUAUGUUGCACCUGUAGAAACUAUGGAGUGGGGACAUGGUAGCCCUCCAAUUUAUGACAGUGUUAAUAAUGUCUUUUAACAAGGAAGAACCAAGGUUUGUUAACUUUUAUUCCCUCUCUUAAUUUAUGUGAUAUUUUUUCAAUUCCGACAGUUCAUCAUAAUUUUUCACAAGUCAUCUAAAUAUUUUGAGUUGUUAGUUAUUGUAUUAUUUUGUACUCCCCUCCUGCCCAUUUACUUACUGUGUGAAAUAAUUCUUACUUGGUGAUCUCAAUUUAUUAAUAUUUUUUUACGUCAUCACUUUAAUUAUAAUCUCUCUCAACAUUUAUUGAUUAAGGUAAAUAUGAAAAUUAAGAACUAAUAAUAUAUUGAUUUUAUAAAAUGACAAUUUUGGAUCUUCUACUUUUAAUAAGAACGGGAUCGGAACUAAAAUGAAUUGGAUGGAAUAUUAAUUUUUAUGUAAUUUUUAAAUAUAUAAAUUUUAUUUUAAAUGAUUUAAAAAUUUUAUGCUGGAAUUCAUAGUUAAAUUUAAGAAACUAUACCAUCAUCUUUCUUGUCAAUAUGAUUUGUUUUGUUUGGUUUAAUGAUUAAAUCAGGUAUGGCCAGAAGGGUCUCUUGAAGAAACAAUACAAAAUUCUAUAUAGACAUUUGAAAUGGAGCUUAAAGGACAUGCACCUACUGGUGAGAUGAUACAAUUCUAUGGCAUUGGAAUUAUGAAGGUCUAUCUUUCCCUCCCCCUCCCUCUUAUAUACGCUCUUCGUUUUAAUUUUAUGUGACAUCUUUUAACUAGGUACAAAAUUUAAUUAAAACAAAAAUUUAAAAUUUGUGAUUCAAAACAAAACUUAGAUAUGUUGUAGCUUUAUAUUAUAUAAUAGAAAAAAUAUGCCUCAUAAAUAUAACUUAAGACAAAAACAAUAUAUCAUUUUCAUUUUAUUUCAUUAUUAUCUAAUUAAACAUGGGUAUUAGAGAGGAAUAAAUAUGUAGCUAAAGAGUGAAUUUGUCAUUGAUUCUAUUUAGAGGCGAAUUAUUAAAGAAAAUUAUAUUAGCUACGAGCAAUUUAGCGAUGAAGCUAAGCUCGUUGCUGGUUUUAAUAUAAAAUGAAUUAAUGAGUUCUUAGCACAUGUGUAAAUUAACAUUGACAGAUUGAUUUAACUAUAUAUAUAAAUUGAAAGUGCAAUUUUUUUUUAUUAUAAUAUCAUUUAGUUGUGAUGUAAUUACUGCAGUAUCUAGAAUUCAUUGUGAGUAUACGAAAAAUAACUUUUUUUUGUAACAAGUUAAAUUAUAUUAAUAGUUAAAAAAACGUACUUUUAACGUAUCGAAAAGAUAAAGAAUAUCGUAUAAAAUAAAAUUAGGGGUUUGUUUGAUACACAUUUUCAAUAUUUAAUUAGUCCAAAGCAUUUUUGUAUGUUAAGAAGUAUAGUUGUUCACAUACACUAAUACAAAACUUAUUAGUUUAACUAACUAGUUGUUUUUUUUAUAUUAGCAGGUAAAUAAAUGUCUUUAAGAGUAGAGGAAUUAGAGUUGUAGUAUGAUCCAACACAACUUUUUGGUGGACUACUCAAGGGGCCGAAAAUCUAACACUGAGCAUCAGGGCCAGGAUGAUAAUACCACCACUCAGCAUUACCCAUACAACCACAACUAAUUAAAUUUUAUGCAACUCUUUAUAUUUUUUCAGUCAUCAAACUUUCUCUAUCUACAUUUUUCUUGAUAUGAUGAUUGUCUUUCAAUUUUCCUGUAUACACUAAGAUAUGCCUACUCUUCUUAAGCCAUAAUGAUUAUUAUGAAAAAAUGAACUUAAUUGAAUCGACUCGUUUGAUUCAAAUAAAUUGGAACAUCUUACUUGCAUCUUUGGUGUUUAUAGCAAGCAAAUAAUUAGACAUCCUCAAAAAACAAAGAAGGAAGAAUAACAAAAUGGACAUUUGGAGACGCAGACCAUUGAAUUACCUCCUCCCCCUUGAUUCCUUACUCCCCGUCCUGUCACGAUCCAAAUGGUUGUGAAUAACAUAAGCAAAUCUCUCAAAUGCAAACUUAGUUCCCUCACCACAAAGAUAACCCUAUCGCUUACAUAUAAAUAUUUGUAUAUGAGGGACAAUAGGAAACACUCUCUUAUAAUGAAAUUCAAACCAUGCAUACAUAACUCAUAAGUUUGUCCUUAUUAUUUUGGCACCAACUUUACAGACAAUAAGACUAGGAUUACUAUAUAUAGGACUUUCUUAACUUAUAACAUAGGCUCGGGGGUAAAGGUAGGAUACAUUUGGGAGCAAUGACAAUACCCUCCUUGUUGCCCUUUUUACCUUGUUUUCCUUUCUUUUGUUUGACAAUCUUUUCUCUUCCUUAAUUUAUAAUAUUUUGAAUGUGACUCCCCUUCCUUUCUCUCUUUUCAUUCAAUAUUCUCUUUUUUCAAUUUGAAGGUAAAUGCAUUCACACUAUCUUAAUACGCCAUAUCAACAUGUGUUGAUCAUUUCUAAACCUAUCUUUUUCAUACCCCAUUGUACUAUUCCUAUAUACUCACGGUAGCCACCCUCAAUUUAGGCAUUUUUUCCUGAGUUGAGGUACAUGAUGUCUAAGGAGGGACAUGGUCAAAGGAAGAUAAACAUAUGGCAACAUACAUGGAGGCAUUUAUGCUCAAAAUUAGGGACAGGGUCUAAUUUUUGGAGGCAUUUUUCACCUAUGUAGGAAAAAUACAACAACAAAUCAGGUGGGAAAGCAUACGAUGGUAGAUAAAUUAUCUUUUCUCUUAGCUUACUGGGGUGCGUCAGAUCGAGGCAUCGUCAUGAGUUAAUUUGAGUUGCUUCCGUAAUUUUGUGUUAACAGUUUGCUAUGAUAUUAAAGUUACAUAGCAAAAAAAUUCGUAAAUCUCAACAACAUAUAUUAGAGGAUUGUCAAUGUCAUUCAAGUUUGUAAAAUCCAUUUUUUCAUCUGUUAGUAAUCGUUUAAUAUAUGAACUCCACUUUAGGUGAAUUAUAAAUAUGUUUUUGAAAUCUAAUACGUACAUAUACUCUAUAUUUACGUAAGCUUAUGCUGAAAUCUAUUUUUGAUUUUAUGAAUUCAAAUGCAUUAUAUUAUACGACGACAAGUUCUUCCUAGCUAGUUUUUUUAUUUAGAAAUCUUCUACGUAUUAUUGUUAGUAGUAUCUUUUUGUAAGAAAUUUAUUUUGCAGUGGAUUCUUGACUCUUUGGGAACAUAGCUAAAGCUAGGCUCACUUUUCAUGCUAAUGUUGUUUCUGAAACUAUUAGGUACUUGCUUGCAUAUAGCUAGAAGGUGUAUGUACAAGCUAAAAGAAAGGACUACUUGAUGCAUUUGUUUGGUCUAUGAUUUGAGCUCUUCAGGUUGUAGUAGGAGUACAAUUUAUGUGCUAAAAAUCUAAACUUGAACUCUCAAUAUAUGUUGGAGUUUUUCAACUACUAUCUUGAAACUUUUGUUUACUUUUAUAUCGUUGUAUCGUAUUCCUGAAUCAGUGUGAGAUAUUUGCUAGUUCGUCACUUGUACAAAUUGCUUGAUUGGAACUUUGUCCUUUUUACUUUGACUUUAAUUUGUUACCAUAUCGCAUGCCUCUUGUUUAGAAUUUUUUUUCAUCUUGACUUUGAAUUUGUGGUCCAUCUUAGUUAUGGAAAUUGUACAUUUUAAGUACAAACUAGAAGCAAUUUAUAACAUUGUUCUUGAUUCUCUUGAUUAUUGGGUUUCAACCCUACUUGGUACAGGGCUUUAUUCUUUCUCAAUAUUUGAUUAUGUUUGGUAUUAACGACAUGACGUAUCUAUUGAGCAAAGUAUGUUAUUUGACAUUUCAUGAAAUUGUUAUAUCAACUUUCUUGAACUUGAGUCUUUAAACGUUGAAAUUGAUACUUUUUUGUAGUCUUAUAUGAAGAUCACAUUUGCAUAUAUAUAUAUAUAUAUAUAUAUAUAUAUAUAUAUAUAUAUAUAUAUAUAUUGUAAUAAUUAUGAGAAUGGUAUGUAAUUCAUAUGUUACAUCUAUAUAUAGUGUAAAUAUAAAUUUGAAUCUGGUGACUUAUUGGCUGCUUUGAAGUGUGUAGCUUGGGUUGUGUAAUGUUUUGAAGUCACAUUUUGGUUAUAAUAUAGUAUAAUGGAUGCAACUAGUGUAAUUUAAUAUUCAAAAGUACGAAAAUAGUUUAAAAUAGCAGAACCCUAAUGUUGCGUUGAAUGAGAAAACUUUGGAAGGUACUUAAUUAUUUUGAUAUUCUUUUUAAUGUGCAAUUGAGUCUUUGAUGUACUUUUAAGAUCUUUAAGAAUACGCCUAAUUCUGCCAUAAAAUUAUAAAUAAAUAUUUUAUUUAUUUACUUAUUUUUAAGAUUAGUCUUUUAUACGUAGAUUAGUUUUUGUGUUGCAAGUGACAUACUCUAAGUAGAGGGUCACUACACAUAUUGAGACGUCAACUUUGGCAUAUUACAUUGUUGGAUCAUCACCUCCUUCAAUUAUGGCAUAUUAUACAAUAUUGGACCAUCACCUUCUUUAGCGAGAUAUUAGAUUGACAUAUUAUACAAUGUUGAAUUGUCACUUCCUUUUAACCUAACAUAUUACAUUAUGUUGGAUCAUAUCCUCUUUCAAUGUGACAUAUAUUAAUACUUGUCUACUCCUUUCUUUUCUUUGAAAUAAUUGGUUUCAAAUGCAUGAGAUAAUGUCUAUUGUUUUGAUUACUAAUUACUUGUCUAUUUCGAUAAAUUAAAAAAGAAUAUUUUUUUAUAUCUAUUAUACCCUUAAUUAUUUAUUUGGGAAAAGGUAGAACUUCUUGAAAAUAUUAAGUUUUUAAUUCAUCUACUUCAUAAUUAAUAGGUGUAAAAAGGUAAACUCACUACAUCAAUAAUUGUUUUCUAAACAGAUGUGUCAAUUUAAAAGUGAACAAGUAAUAAUUAAGAACCCUUGUUAACCGAAAUAACAACUUUAUUACUAAACGUUUGUUGUCCAAACAAUACUAAAUUGGGAAAUUUUCAUAUAUGGCAAACGGAUUUUAUGAAAUUACAUUUCAUGGGCAUAGUUUACAUAAUUAUAUUCCAUGGGUAUAGUUUAGUUUGUUAGGUGCCUUUAAAUUUGUAUAUAAUAUUUUUUUAACUAAAUUUAUACAAAAAAAAUUAUUUUUUCAAUAUUGGUAACAGUAGCACAAAAGAUGGUAACGAUAAAUUCACAUAAUACUGUGAUUUAAGCAAAACAUUCAAAAAUUAAAUAUUUUCCCAAAAAGAAUUCUAAAGCUAUAGAAAGACAAUACCAAUUUUAAAGCACACGACCGAAGUAUCAUAUUAACGUUCAAAAUCAAAUAUUUUCUCAUUUUUUAAAAGAUAAAUCUAUGAAACACUCAAUCGUUUAUGAUCCCAUUUCUAUACCUAUAAAUUGAUUAUGUUGUAUAUAUUUGAGAUGUAUAUAAUUUUUACACAAUAUUUGUGUAUUAUUGAUUAUAUGUUAUUAACUUGUGUGAGGCGUUAUUUUGUUAAACUCUGCCUUAUGUGAGGCCCCUAUGAAUGAAUGUUUAUAUUGUGUUUUAAAAUGAUUUUUAUGUUGUCUAUCUAAGUGUAUUGGCGUUAUUCAGGUGUGCUUACAUAUGCUGUGUUAGUUAUGUGUUUCGGAUGAAGUGUUGCAUAUUAAUUGAAGCUUCAAUUGACAUCAUAGAUGCAAGAGAUCUCUACAUACAAAAUGACACACAUACAUGCAUUGACAAUUUUACUUAAACACAACAACAACAAAUCAAAGAGAACUCCAAAUAUGUUGCACUUUAACUACUGGUUGCUGAUGAACAUAGCAACAACAAAAAAGAACUCCAAAUGUGUUGCACUUUAACUACUGGUUGCUGAUGAACACAACAACAACACAAAUCAAAAUACAGAAAACUAUCUUCCUAUUGAACCUUCUAUUGAGUCUCCUCUCCAACAACAAAUUAAAGUUCCUCAAAUUUUCAAUAUAAACCUGUCUAAUAUGUAAUUCUUGCUCCAAGUCAUUGAUUUUAUUCACAAAUCUUGGAAGGAUAAAACUUGAUCUUGGAUCCACUUCUUCUUUGUCUCUCUAUCGAAAAAAUUUGCAAACUUUAGACUGAAAAUGAUCCAAAUAGGUACAUCAGCAUCGUCAAAAUAAAAUGUAUCAAAAAUACAAGAGAAAAAACACAUACACCAUGCAUGGGCAAGACCAAAAUCUUCUUCCCGGAUUUAAUUUCGAUUAAGAAGUUUGCAAAUUCAGCAAAAUUCCAUGUUUUUAUCUCACUACAACGUUGAGCAUUGGGUUUCAUUCAACCAUACAAAGCGUAUUCAAGUUUUCAUUUGCCAUUUUUGAUGAAUUUCGAGAAAAUUCAAACUUCUAAUUAGAAACCUAAAUAACAAAUUUGAUCACAUUACAAACCCUAAAUUCAAGAUUUGAAGUACAAAUGAACAUUUACAACUAAUCCCUACUUGAUUUUGAGAGGAAUUCGUGAAUUUUUUACUAAAGAAACAAGGUUUAAUGGUGGGGAAAGAAGAAGUAAUGGGUAUUUAAAAGUGGGGAAGAUGACCGUUGGAUAAGGGGGAAUUUUUUCGUCAAAUUUUGCUUCAAACGCGCCUAGAGGCGGUGACAACACCUCCCAUGACAGGUCAGCACUUUGAUUGGUAGAAAAUAUAUAAAAAUAUAGUUUAGGUGGGUAAUGGAACACCCAUGAAGUUGGAGUGCGUAGUUGGGAUUUCGGGUAUAGGUUGGGGGGGGGGGCUUUUGAUCAUUUUCUCUAAUAAUCGCGAUAAUAAAUACAAGUAGAAGAGAAAGGAAACUCAAUACCUUUAGGCUUCUUCAAAAAGUCAUGCCACAUAUAAGCAGUCAUAGUGGAGCUACUACUAAUAAACUCAACUGUGGGGAUAUUGAGUUGAGAAGCAGCCAAUGGCUGAAGAAAAUCAUAAAUGAGUAAAUCGGGUUUUCAAGAUUUUGGUAAAUUGAGGAGUAGAUGAGUCAAAAACACCAUGCUUGACCAACACAUAGUAUUAUAUACUUUUGUGACAAGUUACUUGAUAUUACUAAGAUUCUGCUUUGGUGAAAGCUAUUUGUUGCUUGUUACCAACAAUCUUAAUCAAUAAAACAUCAUGCUUGACCAAAACAUACAUGUAUUAUAUACUUGUGCGCUUCUCUUGAUGAAAGUCACGAGGGACGAGCAUUAAAGAUUUGCUAACAUGAUUAGAAUUAUCUUGGCUACAAGAACGCAACUUAGUAAGAGACCGACAGUACACCAUAAGCGGUUGUGCUCUAACCUGAUUGGGGUAUCGGCCUACUAUACUUGUUUUUACUGAUACAUGAAGAUAUUCUCUAUCAAGUCAACCUCCUUCAAAGAUAACUUCCCCUAGUUUAUUUCAUGAACAUAGUGAGCGUUUCCAUCUCAAAGGCAAGUUCAGAAAUGCUGUGAAAGGUCCCUUCAUGACAAUGUUUGACUGGACAGGGAAUUUAGGAAGAUUUUUGAAACUUGUGGUCUUAAAUGUUCCAUGAGAUUGGCGGUGCCAUUAAUGGUAAAUUGUGAAGUUUAAAGUUAAUUUGUUUCCAAGGAAAAUAAAUAUUUAUAUUGUUUUUGAAAUAGAUUGAUUGGAAAUAGUGCCAAAAAAAGGAACAGAGGAAGAAAUAUUGUGUGAUUCUCUAAAUAGUCAUAUCAACUGGACAGUGAAUCUAUAUAUGUUUGUCCGUAGAAUCAUAAUUUGAAGUUGUUAUAGUAUAAAAUCCAAGGUUAAAAGGAGGACUUCUUGUGGGAAGUCAAGUGAUUCUUGCUAUCAUGGAUGCCGAGGGCAUGAUAGGUUAUAACCUCAUAAAGGGAAGGUGUCACGGGGUUAAUUUUCGCACCUCGUGGGACAAACAAGAAAGUUUGCACGACUCCUCUAAACUUCAGUCCAACCAAACACAAACGGAACGGAAGCAAGACAGUCCCCAUACAGCCACAAACAAUGAAAGGAAAACAAGAAAGAAACCAAGUCUUUGGGAGGUCAACAAGCCAAUUUUCCAAUAAUCUUCCAAGAGUUUUUACAAGAGGGAAAAUACAAGUAAGAGAGAAAAGAAAGAGUAUUCUAAGUAUUCUAUGUGAUAAAUUUGUCUAAGGCAAUGUACAAGGCUUCUAAGUAAGCCCCAAAACGUUUGGCCCCAAGCUUCAAAGAGAAGGCUCCAUGUGGCAAAUUUUCUAAGGCUGGAAAAGAGGCAGUUUUGUCUUCCCUGCUUUACUGCCACAUGGCAGACUGGCUGCACAGAUUUUUGUCUUCAAGCAUUUGGCUGGCCUGAUGAGCAUGGCAAGUUCCUUCUUUCUUGCAAGGCACCUCCAUCAGUUGGCCAAGAGUUUGGCAAGGCUUUAGACCCUCCGAUUUUGUGAUGAGAUGUUGCUGCUUUGUAAGAGACGUUGGAUUUUAAUGUACCGCCUUGCGGGGUUGUACACGCUCCCCCACCUGAAUUGGAGACGACCCCGACGCCACACAACUGCAAGUACUGAUGGACCUUGUCGCGAAACUGCCACAAGUCCUCGUAUCUCUCCCAAGUCGCCUCCACCGGUGCUGUUCCCUUCCAGUGAACUAGGAAUUGUGAACUAGAAUUGUUCCAGCCUUUCCCACGAACAAGCUGGUGAUCGAUGAUAGCCUCAAUUUGUUUGUCCACUGUACGCCGCGUGAUGAAGAUUCUGGCCCUCUCGGACUGCCCCCAUUCCUUAUCUUCCUUGUCUUCGAAAUAAGGCUUUAGUUGGCUUGCGUGGAAGACAGGGUGAAUCUUCAAGUGAUGAGGCAUGUCAACCCGAUAAGAAAUUUUGUCAGCCUUGGCAAUAAUCUCGAAUGGUCCCUCGUAUUUGCGAAUCAAAUUCUGAUUCACGCUUCACAGCGUCUUGAAUUGCCUGGGAUUGAGUUUCGCCAUAACUCGAUCCCCAACCUGAUAAUCCACUGGACGUCGCUUACGAUCAGCAAAUUUCUUCAUCUUCCGGGCAGCCUUGUCAAGGUACGACCGUGCAAGGUCGACUUGUUCUUCUCAGGCCUUGGCCAUCUGAUAGGCACCUGUACUUUUGAAACCGACGUCGACGGGCAAGGAUUGGGGCGUGUUAGGCUGCUGCCCCGUUACUAACUGAAACGGACUCCUUCCCGUCGCCUCACUGUGCUGUAAGUUGUACGAGAAUUGGGCAGUAUCCAACAGUCUUUCCCAAUCCUUCUGAUUGGCACUAACAUAGUGCCGCAAGUAGCAUUCCAACAGUGCAUUGAUCCUCUCCGUCUGCCCGUUUGUUUGAGGGUAGAAGCUGGUCGAGAAAUGCAACUCCGACCCCAAUAAGCUAAACAAUUUCCUCCAGAAUGAGCCAGUAAACCGAGGAUCCCAGUCGCUGAUGAUAUGUUUAGGAAUGCCCCAGUACUUAACCACAUCACGCAAAAAGAUCCGGGCAGCUUCUUUGGCUUUGCAGUUGGCCGUCGUGGUAGUGAAUGUCGCAUAUUUAGAGAAGCGAUCCACCACGACCAUUAUUGUCCCAAACCCCUCCGAGUUUGGCAAGCAGGUGAUAAAGUCCAUGGUGACGAUGUCCCAAUGCUUUUCGGCAAUGGGCAGCAGCUCAAGCAGUCCGCCGGUACCUUUGUUUCUACCUUGCCCACUUCGGGACGUACACACGCCUGCCCGUUGUAUGGAGCAGGCCGCCUUCUUCCCAAAAUUUCUUUGUCCUGCCUUGUUGGGCUAAGGCAAAGAGUUGCUUGGCAACUGGAUCAUGCUGUAAUCCCUCCUUUAUGUCAUCAACAAGUGAGCUGCAACUCGAGCUCACAAUGGCAGCCAAAUAUGUCUUGCGGCUAAAGGCGUCGGCAACCACAUUCGCUUUCCUCGGUUUGUACUCUAGAGUGAAGUCGAAUUCUGCUAAGAAGUCUUGAAAUCGGGCUUGCUUAGCGGACAGCUUCUUUUGGGAUUGGAAAUAUUUCGUCGCGAUGUUGUCCGUCUUGACGACAAAGUGAGCUCCCAGCAAGUAAUGGAACCAUGUUCUAAGGCAGUGAACCACAACUGCUAUCUCCUUCUCAUGCGCUGAAUACCGCCGCUCUGCUUCAUUCAACUUUAUGCUCUCAUAGGCUAUCGGGUGGCCCUCUUGCAUUAGGAAACCACCGAUGGCAAAGUCUGAUGCAUCAGUGUGGACUUCGAAUUCCUUGAAGAAGUAUUGCAAGGCCAACACAGGCUCUUCCGUCACAGCAGCCUUCAUCCUCUCGAAGGCAGCUUGGCAAGCCCCCGACCAAUUCCAUUCGCGGUCCUUCUUCAGCAAGUCCAUGAGAGGAGCUGCAAUUGCUGAAUAGUUGAAGAUGAAGCGACGAUAGUAAUUGGCAAGGCCAAGGAAGGACCUCAAUUCUGGUACCUUCGUUGGAGCCUCCCAAUUCUUGAUAGCAUCUAUCUUAUCGCUGUCCAUUCUGAUCUCACCGUGGCUGAUAGUAUGCCCAAGAAAAUGGACCGUUGAUUGAGCAAAACUGCAUUUCUCACGCUUUACGCACAGUUUGUUGUCGUGCAAGACUUCGAAAACUUUGCACAAGUGCUCUACAUGGUCCUCCAUGUUGUUGCUGUAGACAACAAUAUCAUCCAAAUAAAUGACAACAAACUGAUCCAAGUAGGAGUGGAACAGUCUGUUCAUCAGUAUGCAGAAUGUCGCUGGUGCAUUUUUCAACCCAAAUGGCAUUACCAGCCAAUCGAAGACACCAUAGCGCGUUACACAAGCAGUCUUUGGUUCAUCACCUUCGACAAUCCGAACUUGGUGAUAACCCUUUCUCAAAUCCAUCUUGGUGAACACCUUUGCCUGUCCCAACCUGUCGAAAAAAUCCGCAAUCAAAGGAACGGGGUACUUGUUCUUCAUCGUGACCUUGUUGAGGGCUCGGUAGUCAAUGCAUAACUGCAGCGUCCCGUCAUUCUUCUUUUGGAAUAGAACAGGUGCACCAAACGGCGCCUUUGACAGCUUAAUGUGUCCAGCAUCCAGCAACUCCUUGAGCUGCUUCCUUAACUCUUCCAGUUUUGGGGGCGCCAUGCGAUAAGGCGUCAUGGCAGGCGGCUUUGCCCCUGAAACUAGCUCAAUUUGGUGAUCAACUUCCCAUCAGGGUGGCAGCCGUUGGGGAAUUUCUGUUGGCAUCACGUCUUUGUUGUUGCUAAGGACUUGUUCGAUGCAAGGCGGCAUUGGAACUGCCUCUGUGCAGAUUUCGGCGUCCUCAAUCAGGUGGCAAGAAAUGUUGGCUCGCCUCUCUUGAAGCCCUAGAUAAUCUGCAUUACAGACAAAUGCAUUCCAGUUUGUGGUACCCGAAUAAGGGGUACUACGUAAGAACCACCAGUGUCACUGAUGUGCAGCUGGUUGGGACGCGGCGAGAUGAACGCAUUGACGUCAUACCAAAAAUCAAGCCCUAAGAUCACAUCAAACACAUCCAUAGGGGCGAUUGUGAAGUCAGUCUGCCCUGUCCAAUCUCCUAAGUCAAUUGGAACUUCAGGUGCAAAGCCAUGGACGGUAGUCGGAGUGGGGUUGACUGUCUUCAAUUUUGUUUUGCUGGCCACAUAACUUAGGCCAAGCUCCUUGGCCUUCUGUUCAGUCACAAAAUUGUGAGUUGCCCCUAUGUCUACCAUGAUCCGCAAGUCUUUGCCGUUCAACUUGGAAUCGACGAAGAGUGCCUCUCGCGGACUGACACUAGCUGGUUUGGCAGCCAAAGCAGUAAUGGAAAUGUGGCUGAUAAGCGCCAUAUGAUUGAACAUGCCCACGGACACGUUCUUGCCUUUGUCUGAUCUGCAACUCUACCCACGCUGCUCACCGGCAGAACUUCUAGCUUGCGUUGCAGCCUUUUUUUGCUGCCUUUCAGCAGCCACCAUAGCGCCCAGCUUCCUCAAUGAUGGACAGUACCGAGCAGGGUGGGUCGUAUCCCCACAGAUGUAACAACCUUCCCACUGAGGAGCACCCCUCUUGCGGUCCUCAUAAUUUUUCCAGAAAUUUGAAGGUUGGUCACGAGCGUUGCUUCUCGCGUCGCUGCCUCUGGGAUUCGGUUUGAUCCUGUUCCUGUUGUUGUUGUCGACCUUGGGAGGAAUAGUUUUGCUCCUAUUAUCCCUCCCUUUUGCCGCAUCAGCAAAGAAAUCGUUGAGCGAUUCCGCCACUACGAUCGCCUCAUCUACGUCAUGCACUUGACAUCUUUGCAGCUCCUGCUUGGCCCAAUUUUGAAGGCCAUCUAGAAAGUAAAACAGUACUUCCUCACCCGUCAGGAUAGAAAUUUGAAGUGUUAACUUCGUGAAUUCCUUAACAUAAUCCCGAAUGGAGAAGGUCUGCUUUAACUCCCUCAACCACCGACGGGCUUCGUGAACAACGUUUUGGGGGUUGAACUGCCAUUUGAGCUCAGCUGUGAACUGCUCCCAAUCAUCAAUCUGGCAAGCCCCCCUUUCCAUAUCUGCUUUCUUCCAUCGCCACCACAGCAUGGCUAUGUCUGUCAAGUACAUAGCUGUCGUUCUGAUCUUGGCAGCUUCGCUGUGCAUGUUAACGUGUUCGAAAUAGGCAUCCAUCUGCCAUAUGAAGUUCUCCACGUCUUGAGCACUCCUUUCCCCACAAAAUUCUUUUGAUUUAGGAGCCUCAAUAUGGGUUUCUCGGACUGUAACGGGGAGCAACCCCCACCUCGAACGCCUCAUCGACCUGUCGACUCAAAGCCUCCACCUCUCUUUGAAAGGAAGAGUUGGCCUCGUUGACCUUGAGUUCAAGGGCGGACAGACCCUCUUUUUGAACAUCCUCAAGUUUAACCAGGUUGUUUUCAUCUCGUCCAGUCCUUCAAUGGCUACGGACUCGAGGGAACUGAAAUUGUUUUCAACCACCACAAUCCUCAUGUUCAAGGCCGACAACCCCACCUCAACUCCGACGAUUCUCUCAUCGAGUGGGUUGUUGUUUGACCUCCUUCUUCUUCACCAGCAACUCUACCAACAAGAAAAGGGUUGCAAGAGGGCUCUCUUACCUUGCUCUUGUCACGUUUCUUGGAAGGUUCCUUCCGAACUUCAGGCUCCUUGUCUUAGACAGCCUCUUCAUUACGUUGUGACUUCGAAGAAAUGCUUCAACUACUGCUCUGAUACCACUUGUCACUGGGUCAAUUUUCGCACCUCGUGGGAUAGUCAAGAAGGCUUGCACGGCUCCUAUAAAAUUCAGUCCAACCAAACACAAACGGAACGGAAGCAAGACAGUCCCCAAACAUCCACAAACAAUGAAAGGAAAACAAGAAAGAAACCAAGUCUUUGGGAGGCCAACAAGCCAAUUUUCCAAUAAUCUUCCAAGAGUUUUUAUAAGAGGGAAAAUACAAGUAAGGGAGAAAACAAGGAGUAUUCUAAGUAUUCUAUGUGGUAAAUCUUUCUAAGGCAAUGUACAAGGCUUCUAAGUAAGCCCCAAAACGUUUGGCCUCAAGCUUCAAAGAGAAGGCUCCUUGUGGCAGAUUUUCUAAGGCUGGAAAAGAGGCAGUUUUGUCUUCCCUGCUUUACUGCCACCUGGCAGACUGGCUGCACAGAUUUUUGUCUUCAAGCAUUUGGUUGGCUUGAUGAGCAUGGCAAGUUCCUUCUUUGUUGUAAGGCACCUCCAUCAAUUGGCCAAGAGUUUGGCAAGGCUUUAGACCCUCCGAUUUUGUGAUAAGAUGCUUCUGCUUUGUUGGAGAUUUUAGAUUUUAAUGUACCACCUUGCGGGGCGGUACACGCUCCCCCGCCUGAAUUGGCGACGACUCCGACGCCACACAACUGCAAGUACUGAUGGUACUUGUUGCAAAAUUGCCACAAGUCCUCGUAUCUCUCCCAAGUCGCCUCCUCCGGUGUUGUUCCCUUCCAGUGAACUAGGAAUUGUGAACUAGAAUUGUUCCAGCCUUUCCCAUGAACAAGCUGGUGAUCGAUGAUAGCCUCAAUCUGUUUGUCUACUGUCGGCGGCGUGAUGAAGAUUCUGGCCCUCUCGGACUGCCCCCGUUCCUUGUCUUCGAAAUAAGGCUUUAUUGGCUUGCGUGGAAGACAUGGUAAAUCUUCAAGUGAUGAGGCAUGUCAACCCGUUAAGAAAUUUUGCCAGCCUUGGCAAUAAUCUCGAAUGGUCCCUCGUAUUUGCGAAUCAAAUUCUGAUUCACGCUUCGCAGCGACUUGAAUUGCCUGGGAUUGAGUUUCACCAUAACUCGAUCCCCAACCUGAUAAUCCACUGGACGUCGCUUACGAUCAGCAAAUUUCUUCAUCUUUCGGGCAGCCUUGUCAAGGUACGACCGUGCAAGGUCAACUUGUUCUUCCCUGGCCUUGGCCAUCUGAUAGGCACAUGGACUUUUGAAACCGGCGUCGACGGGCAAGGAUUGGGGCGUGUUAGGCUGCUGCCCCGUUACUAACUCUAACGAACUCAUUCCCGUCGCCUCACUGCGCUGCAAGUUGUACGAGAAUUGGGCAGUAUCCAGCAGUCUUUCCCAAUCCUUCUGAUUGGCACUAACAUAGUGCCGCAAGUAGCAUUCCAACAGUGCAUUGAUCCUCUCCGUCUGCCCGUCUGUUUGAGGGUGGAAGCUUGUCGAGAAAUGCAACUCCGACCCCAAUAAGCUAAACAAUUCCCUCCAGAAUGAGUCAGUAAACCGAGGAUCCCGGUCGCUGAUGAUAUGUUUAGGAAUGCCCCAGUACUUAACCACAUCACGCAAAAAGAUCCGGGCAGCUUCUUUGGCUUUGCAGUUGGCCGUCAUGGCAGUGAAUGUCGCAUAUUUAGAGAAGCGAUCCACCACGACCUUUAUUGUCCCAAACCCCUCUAAGUUUGGCAAGCAGGUUAUAAAGUCCAUGGUGACGCUAUCCCAAGGCUUUUCAGCAAUGGGAAGCGGCUCAAGCAGUCCGCCUGGUACCUUAGUUUCUACCUUGUCCUGUUGACAAAUAAGGCACGUUCGCACGUAGGCCUCGACGUCGUCCCGCAUCCGAGGCCAAUAGUAAGAAGCUUCAAUUAAGGCCAAGGUCCUCUUCUGCCUCGGGUGACCAGCCCAAGCAGAGUCGUGGCCUUCUUUAAUCAAUGUACGCCGAAGGUUAGCCCACUUCGGAACGUACACACGCCUGCGUGUUGUAUAGAGCAGGCCGCCUUCUUCCCAAAAUUUCUCUGUCCUGCCUUGUUGGGCUAAGGCAAAGAGUUGCUUGGCAACUAGAUCAUGCUGUAACCCCUCCUUUAUGUCAUCAACAAGUGAGUUGCAACUCGAGCUCACAAUGGCAGCCAAAGAUGUCUUGCGGCUAAGGGCGUCAGCAACCACAUUCGCUUUCCCCGGUUUGUACUCCAGAGUGAAGUCAAAUUCUGCUAAGAAGUCUUGAAAUCGGGCUUGCUUAGCGGACAACUUCUUUUGGGAUUGGAAAUAUGUCGUCGCGACGUUGUCCGUCUUGACGACAAAGUGAGCUUCCAGCAAGUAAUGGCGCCACGUUCUCAGGCAGUGAACCACAACUGCUAUCUCCUUCUCAUGAGCUGAAUACCGCCGCUCUGCUUCAUUCAACUUUCUGCUCUCAUAGGCUAUCGGGUGGCCCUGUUGCAUUAGGACACCACCGAUGGCAAAGUCUGAUGCAUCAGUGUGGACUUCGAAUGCCUUGGAGAAGUCUGGCAAGGCCAACACAGGCUCUUCCAUCACAGCACCCUUCAGCCUCUCGAAGGCAGCUUGGCAAGCCCCCGACCAAUUCCAAUCGCGGUCUUUCUUCAGCAAGUCCGUGAGAGGAGCUGCAAUUGCUGAAUAAUUGAAGAUUAAGCGAAAAUAGUAAUUGGCAAGGCCAAGGAAGGACCUCAAUUCUGGUACCAUCGUUGGAGUCUCCCAAUUCUUGAUAGCAUCUAUCUUGUCGCUGUCCAUUCUGAUCUCACCGUGGCUGAUAGUAUGCCCAAGGAAAUGGACCGUCGAUUGGGCAAAGCUGCAUUUCUCACGCUUCACGUACAGUUCGUUGUCGCGCAAGACUUCGAAAACUUUGUACAAGUGCUCUACAUGGUCCUCCAUGUUGUUGCUGUAGACAACAAUAUCAUCCAAAUAAAUGACAACAAACUGAUCCAAGUAGGAGUGGAACAGUUUGUUCAUCAGUGUGCAGAAUGUCGCUGGUGCGUUCGUCAACCCAAAUGGCAUUACCAGCCAAUCGAAGGCACCAUAGCGCGUUACACAAGCAGUCUUUGGUUCAUCACCUUCGGCAAUCCGAACUUGGUGAUAACCCUUUCUCAAAUCCAUCUUGGUGAACACCUUUGCCUGUCCCAACCUGUCGAACAAAUCCGUAAUCAAAGGAACGGGGUACUUGUUCUUCACCGUGACCUUGUUGAGGUCCCGGUAGUCAAUGCAUAACUGCAGCAUCCCGUCCUUCUUCUUUUGGAAUAGAACAGGUGCACCAAACGGCGCCUUUGACGGCCUGAUGUGUCCAGCAUCCAGCAACUCCUUGAGCUGCUUCCUUAACUCCUCCAGUUUCGGGGGCGCCAUGCGAUAAGGCGUCAUGGCAGGCGGCUUUGCUCCUGAAACUAGCUCAAUUUGGUGAUCAACUUCCCUUCGGGGUGGCAGCCGUUGGGGAAGUUCUGUUGGCAUCACGUCCUUGUUGUUGCUAAGGACUUGUUCGAUGCAAGGCGGCAAUGGAACUGAUGUGCAACCCUUGGCUCGCCUCUCUUAAAGCCCUUGAUAAUCUGCAUUGCCGACAAAUGCAUUCCAGUUUGUGGUACCCGAAUAAGGGGUACCAUGCAAGAACCACCAGUGUCACUGAUGUGUAGCUAGUUAUGACGCGGCGAGAUGAACGCAUUGAUGUCGUACCAAAAAUCAAGCCCUAAUAUCACAUCAAACACAUCCAUAGGGGCAAUUGUGAAGUCAGUCUGCCCCGUCCAAUCUCCUAAGUCAAUUGGAACUUCAGUCGCAAAGCCAUGGACGGUAGUCGGAGUGGGGUUGACUGUCUUCAAUUUUGUAUUGUUGGCCUCAUAACUUAGGCCAAGCUCCUUAGCCUUCUGCUCAGUCACAAAAUUGUGAGUUGCCCCUGUGUCUACGAUGAUCCGCACGUCUUUUUCCGUUCAACUUGGCAUCGACGAAGAGUGACUCUCGCGGACUGACACUAGCUGGUUUGGCAGCCACAAUGGAAAUGUGGCUGAUAAGCGCCAUAUGAUUGAACAUGCCCACGGCCACGUUCUUGCCUUUGUCUGAUCCGCUACUCUGCCCACGUUGCUCACCGGUAGAACUUCCAGCUUGUGUUGCAGCCUUUUCUUGCUGCCUUUCGGCAGCCACCAUAGCGCUCAGCUUCCUCAAUGACGGACAGUACCGAGCAGCGUGGGUCGUCUCCCCACAGAUGUAACAACCUUCCCACUGAGGAGCACCCCUCUUGCGGUCCUCAUAGUUUUUCGAAAAAUUUGAAGGUUGGUCAUGAGCGUUGCUUCUCGCGUCGCUGCCUCUGGGAUUCGGCCUGGUCCUUUUCCUGUUGUUGUUUUCGACCUUGGGAGGAAUAGUUUUGCUCCUAUUAUCCCUCCCUUUUGCCGCAUCAGCACAGAAAUCGUUGAGCGAUUCCGCCACUACGAUUGCCUCAUCUACGUCAUGCACUUGUCGUCUUUGCAGCUCCUGCUUGGCCCAAUUUUGAAGGUCAUCUAGAAAGUAAAACAAUAAGUCCUCACUCGUCAGGAUAGGAAUUUGAAGUGUUAACUUCGUGAAUUUCUUAACAUAAUCCCGAAUGGAGGAGGUCUGCGUUAACUCCCUCAACCUCCGCCGGGCUUCGUGAACGACAUUUUGGGGUAGAACUACCGUUUGAGCUCAGCUUUGAACUGCUCCCAAUCAUCAAUCUGGCAAGCCCCCCUCUCCAUAUCUGCUUUCUUCUGUCGCCACCACAGCAUGGCUGUGUCUGUCAAGUACAUAGCUGUCGUUCUGAUCUUGGUAGCUUCGCUGUACAUGUCAACGUGUUUGAAAUAGGCAUCCAUCUGCCAUAUGAAGUUCUCCACGUCUUGAGCACUCCUUUACCCACCAAAUUAUUUCGGUUUAGGAGCCUCAAUACGGGUUUCUCGGACUGUAACGGGAGGAGCAACCCCCACCUCGGCAGCCUCAUAGACCUGCCGUCUCAAAGCCUCCACCUCUCUUUGAAGGGAAGAGAUGGCCUCGUUGAGCUUGAGUUCAAGGGCGAACAGACCCUCUUUUUGAACAUCCUUAAGUUCAACCAGGUUGUUUUCACCUCGUCCAGCCCUUCAAUGUCUACGGACUCGAGGGAACUGAAAUUGUUUUCAACCACCACGAUCCUCAUGUUCAAGGCCGACAACCCCACCUCAACUCUGACGAUUCUCUCAUCGAGUGGGUUGUUGUCCGCACCUCCUUCUUCUUCACCAGCAGCUCUACCAACAAGAAAAGGGUUGCAAGAGGGCUCUCUUACCUUGCUCUUGUCACGUUUCUUGGAAGGUUCCUUCCGGACUUCAGGCUCCUUGUCUUAGACAGCGUCUUCAUUACGUUGUGACUUCGAAGUCAUGCUUCAACUGCUGCUCAGAUACCACUUGUCACGGGGUCAAUUUUCGCACCUCGUGGGACAGUCAAGAAGGCUUGCACGGCUCCUCUAAACUUCAGUCCAACCAAACACAAACGGAACGGAAGCAAGACAGUCCCCAAACAGCCACAAACAAUGAAAGGAAAAGAAGAAAGAAACCAGGUCUUUGGGAGGCCAACAAGCCAAUUUUCCAAUAAUCUUCCAAGAGUUUUUAUAAGAGGGAAAAUACAAGUAAGAGAGAAAACAAAGAGUAUUCUAAGUAUUCUAUGUGAUAAAUCUGUCUAAGGCAAUGUACAAGGCUUCUAAGUAAGCUCCAAAACGUUUGGCCCCAAGCUUCAAAGAGAAGGCUCCAUGUGGCAGAUUUUCUAAGGCUGGAAAAGAGGCAGUUUUGUCUUCCCUGCUUUACUGCCACAUGGCAGACUGGCUGCACAGAUUUUUGUCCUCAAGCAUUUGGCUGCCCUGAUGAGCAUGGCAAGUUCCUUCUUUCUUGCAAGGCACCUCCAUCAGUUGGCCAAGAGUUUGGCAAGGCUUUAGACCCUCCGAUUUUGUGAUGAGAUGCUGCUGCUUUGUUGGAGACGUUGGAUUUUAAUGUACCGCCUUGCGGGGCGGUACAGAAGGAGUGUGGAAGGAUAUUUGUAGAGGCUAAAGCUUGAAGAGAGAAUUCCCAGCUUGUUCUCUUCAGUAUUAAUAAGCAUGUCACGGUAGCUAAAAUACUCAGAAAGAACAAAAUACCCUUAAUUAAGAUGUAUCUAUCUAGGAUUAGUAAUAAGACAAGUCGAAGGAUUUCUCUACGGUCAUCAGAUCGAGGAUGACAGAAUAAUGUUGAUAAGGGUAUGCUUAUGGAGAGGAAAGCAUCUAACAAAGUGAUGAUUUUUCAUCGUAUGCUUUCUUAAGGCUUUUUAAAGUUUAUUACGUAAUUUUCUUAAAAGCAGAUUAGUAAGAGGAAAUAAUUGAUGUUUGUUAAGUUGUUGUUGCAUGUGUUAGUCACAAUGCUUGGGAUGAUCACCUACUACUGCAUUAUAAUUUAUGGACCUUCUAUUUUAUAUAGCUUAGGUUCUCUCAAACAGUGGUGAAAUUCUAUGGCCUUUGUAGUGUGCUUUAGAGAUUUUUUACUUCAUCUGUAUUUUGGUUGGACUUGUUAGGGAAUACAUAUAUUAUAACUUAUUUUUCACUUGUAUUUUAUUUAGUAUGAUGAUAAUAUGAUAUGAGAUUAAUGAAGAAAUGGGAUUCAUAUACUUGUUUGGGACUGAGGCAUAGUUGUUAUCGUUGUCGAAUUAGUCAUGUCAUGAUUUUGUAUGGGAUGACACUUGUUUUGGUAUAUUAAUCAACCAAAAGAUUUUUUAUUUAUCAAAGAGAAGUAUACCUGUAUAUAUUUUGCAAGAAAGUACUUAUGCAGAAUAUUUUUCUCAGUUCUUUCAGCUUCUGGUGGACCAUCUGAAGAUGAGUAAUGGUAUUACUUCAUUUGUACUUUGGACUUGUUAGGGAAUACAUCAAAUACCUUUCUUUGAUGUGUUUGUCAAUCACAGCUUGUUUACUUUCAGUUAUUUGUGACACACUCGCAAAGAAAUUCAUUAUUAUGCUUGUUGAUGCAGAUGUAGUAUAUUAGUUGGUUUGUUUAGCUUACAGCAUUAUGGCAUAGGCAGUGUGGGUUAGUUGCUUUGGUUUCUCUUAGUAGGAGGUAUUGGUAUCUAUAACAUCCUGUUUUGCGAGCUUUUUCUCCUGUCUACAUAUAUCGGUAUUUUAAAAGAGAUGGUUGGACAUCAUUGGAGGGGAUCAUGCUCAGCAUUACAGGUUUUUUCCUCUUGCCCUCUGUUCAAACAUCUUCUUUUUUUUUUUGUUAUUUGUUAAUACUUAUUACAGCUCCAAGGUACUUAUAAUUGCUAUUUCAGGAACAGAAGCACUUUUUGCUCAUUUUCCAGUGUCAGCAAUACAGCUUGGUUUCACGGUCAUUGUUUUCCCUUGCCUUCUUUUAGCUUAUUCUGGACAUGCAAAAUACGGAUAAUGAGACACAAAUGAUUUCUUUUCCAUGUAACAAGGCUAUAAGGAUUCAUUUUCCAUGUAUUGGGUAGGACAGGAUCUCUGAAUAUGGGGCGGGAGGUUGUGGCUUGGAAACGUGUACAUAAAUUCCUAAAUACUCUGAUCAUGUAACGUUCAUAUUGUUUGCACAUUUACUAUGUUUAUAAUACAGUCUCUGUGGAUUACCAUUUCCGCCUACCUUUGAAGAAAAAAGAGGGAAACAAAGUAGAAUUAUGAAGGAAGAUAUGGUAGUGGUAAAAGGUUACUAAAAAUAAUCUUUUUUUUCUUGAUGCAGAAAGCAUAUACUGGCCAGUUUUUGUCAUUGCAACUUUAGCUGCUAUUGUUGCCAGUCAGGCUACCAUAUGCAAGCUCUAGCACUUGGCUGUUUCCCAGGAGUAAAGGUUGGGCAUAUAUCAAAGAAGUUCUUGGGGGCAGAUAUAUAUUCCUGAUAUUAAUUGGAUUCUUAUGGUUCUUUGCAUUGCCGUUACUGCUGGAUUUAAAAAUCAAAGCCAAAUAGGCGAUGCUUACGGUGAGUUUGUGCCUUACAUCUAAUAUUUCUUGAUUCCUUUGGCAUUUUAAACAUGCAAAGACAGAUUUCAGUCUUGAUAAGAUUAAAUUUCUGAGGGGACACUGAUUGACUAUAAAUAUAUUUCUGUUUGUUGUCUUCCUUUAUGUAUGGUCCUAAUUAGAAGUUCAUAUGUUAUAGAGUUACAUGCACCCUCGAGCUGAUGCAUUGUAGGUUGCUGUACUGAAGUUACAAGUUUGUUGAAGUAGUGAACUAAACAAACUUUCAAAUUUGGCCCCAACACUUCAAUUCUGAGAGCUUACAUCUAGACACUUGCAGACAAUAUAAUGAAUGCAACUGUUCCAGUACACAGUGGAGACGUGUCUAAAUGUGCAUAUGAGUGUUUACUUAUCAACUAUAUAUAAUAUGUCUUGCUUAUAUACAAGAAAGAUGAUACAAUAAAUAUACUUCAUUACGCCUGUAAUUAUUCACUUUGUUCCCCUCUAAGCUAAUGAAGAAAAAGUGAGGAGAUGAUCUAUUUACACCUUUCCGUUUCUGAGUUAUUUUAAGAGGAGCAAUUUUUUUAUCUAAUCUCCUCAGCUAACUCCAAAUAACAGGUAAAAAUGAUAAUUAUUAAUAUCACCAAGAAUAUUACAUUUCGAUUUAUCACAGAUACAAAAUGAUGUUUUACAUAUAUAAAAAGUUUUUCAUGUUUCCCAUAUAAUGUUGUUUCAGAAUCUAAAGGAGACCACUCUCCUCUCUCUGAAUAAUACAGAAUAAACAGGGUAUACUUGUAAAAGAAACUUUCAUGCAGAUACCAAGAAAGAAGGGACAGACACCAUGCCAUCACUUGGGUGGAUGAGCUUGCGGUCUUGUUGGACAGGCAGCAGCCAUGGUACGUAACCGUCUGGCAAUUUCAGUGAAAGAUGGGCGGAUGGCAGGAUCUGGAGCCCAACACUGUUCCAUGAGCAUUCUCCACUCAGUGUCACAGAAGCUUGGCACAGGCGGUCUCAAUGUGUUGUUGACAAUACCACCUGCAUUAAUUUCCAGACUUGAUAUAUUAAAUGGUUUACUAAAUAAGAGAUUAGCAGGAAUAGGAACUAGCACUAAAAAUAGUUGAACCAUGUUGAGCUUCAAUGUCUUUUACUAAUAUUGGCACUUACAGAAUGCCCUUGCAGAUAUGGUAAAACAUCAAUUAACAUCUUAGUGGCUUUAGAAAACCCAAAGUUUUGAUCAGGAAUUUCUAGAUAUUGAUUAUUAGUAGAAUUUUUUGUAAGAAUGUAGAAAUUAGUGGGGUAUAAAAUUGAAGUGCAUAUAUUUGCUAAAUAUGUCUAUACUGCUGUGUUUUCACUUUCCAGUAAAAAAGCAACCUUCUGUUCCUUACUUCUAGAAUGGACUCUGAAACUCCUGCCUCAUCCUUCAUUAAGGCAGCACUUAGAAGGAAAUAUAGGACAUAACAAGCAACUUCUUGUCAGAUGCAGACAGCAAUGGCAGCACACACUGCAAUGGGCGAUAUAAAGAGAAAAAUGUUGGAAGGGAUAGAGUAAUAUAAACCUAUAAUUGCUCCAUAAUGCAUAUUUGCAUAAGGUUCUUCGCCAGUGAGGAUUUCCCAGAGCACAAUCCCAAAGGAAAAGACGUCGACCUGCAAAGUUCAAAAUUUGUUACUAUGAAUGGCAACUAGGCAUCAAGGAUUAAAAUUGUUUCAUGAUUUAUUCUAUCUUAAAUAUAGAACUCACGCUGAUGAAGUUACAGUGGAACAACAUUUCAAAGGGAAGAUAGCAGUGUUGCGAGAAAAUGCAGAAGCUAUUGUACACAAAAGUUUAGGCGCAAAACUAAUGAACAGGAGAGACCACAUAAUGCACAAAAAUUUUGUAUUUGUAGAUAUUUGAAGCCAGACCUUUCUUAGGGUGCUGAUAAAUGUAAAGUCCAUUUUCAAAACAAAAAGAGAGACCACAUAAUUCAUUGGAUUCUUGAAGUUGGCAAGCAUUUUAUAACAGCAUGUUGAGUUAAUAAGCAUUAAGCACCAACAUCCCCCACAUGAAGUGAAAAAAAAUGACGUCUAAAAUAGACUAUAAGUUCAGCGUUCACAUUUGAAGUUUUAAACGUAAAAGAGGAAUUGAAAGCUUACCUUCUCGGAAACCUUAUUACUUCCACCAUUCAAUAGCUCUGGAGCCAUCCAUGGAAGCGUUCCCCUGACACCACCAGUAACCAAGGUAUUUCUCUUGAUUUUUGACAGCCCAAAAUCAGCCACCUACACAACACAAUUUCCAUCAGUUCUGCACUGAUCCCUCUACGGUAUCUUUGUUGUCCUUUAGUUGAUGAAGAUUCAAGGGAUCGUUUGGUAGAUGUAUUAGAAGAAAUAAUGCAUGCAUUAGCUUUGUGUAUUAGUAGUACCUUGUUUGGUACAUUUUUUCAACCUAUGUAUAGCUAAUGCUUGCAUUAGUUAUACAUUCUAUUGUGUAUUGAGUGUAUUUUCGUACGAAUACAUGGAAAUUCAUGGUAUUAGUAAUGCAAGAGGGUUCAAUGUAUGCAUUAUCAUGGUUAGAGACCCAAUCGCCCCUCAAUUUUUUUUACAUGUUAUCACCAUACUUGUGGAGGGUAUCUUUGUAAAUAAUUUUUUUUAAAAAAACUAUACAAUACAUACUAUUUUUAAUACACCAAACAAAACAACGCAUAAGCAAUAAUGCAAGCACAACUAAUUCAAGCAUUACUAAUACACUUUAUUCAAAAUUAUUCUUAUACAUUCUAUCAAACGAUCCCUAAGGGGUCAUUUGGUAGAGUGUAUUAAAAUGAAUAAUGCAUGCAUUAGCCUUGUAUAUUACUAGUACCUUGUUUGGUACUCCUUUCCAACCUAUGUGUAACUAAUGCUUGCAUUAGUUAUACACCCUAUUAUGUAUUAAGGUGUGUAUUGUUAAUACCAUGGAUUUCUAGGUAUUAGCAAGGCAAUGGUUUUAAUGGAUGUAUUAAUUCAAUCAAAGACCCAAUUGCCCCUGAAUACCUUUUUAUAGCUUUUCCAUAUCUUUGUAAACACAUUUUUUUAUGCAAUGCAUUCUAUAAACAAUGCAUAAAAAUAACCUAUGUAUAAGAAUCUAGCCAAGGAAGCAGUUUUGACAUUGGAUAAUGUGGCCAAGAGAGGAAUCUCUCUAUGCAACAGAUGUUACUUUUGUGGGAAGGCAAAUGAGACUGUGAGACAUCUCUUCUUACAUUGUAACUUUACUGGGCAGCUGUGGCAGAUUUUCCUUAAUCUCAGAGGCAUAACUUGGUGUAUGCCUAGCAAAAUUGAUGAGACUCUAUUCGGUUGGGAUAUGGCUGGAGUUGGGGCUACAAACAGAGAAAGAUGGCGGAUGAUCCUUGCUAGUAUUUGGUGGACUAUAUGGGGAGAGAGAAAUGAGAGACGUUUUGAGAAUAGGAACAACGACCUGCAGGAAGUUAAGCUUAAGUGUAUUCUGUUAUUCUGCUUUCGGUGUACAAAAUGUCUACUCUAAUGAAACUGAGUCAAUCAUAGAUGUUUUAGGAUCCAUUUAGAUUUGGUUCAAUUUUUUAGAUAGAUUAUACUUCCUUUCUGCUUUUGUAAAUAUUGUUUCUCAGUACUACCUAAGUACUAUGUGAAAUACAAUAUUACCAGUUUCAAAAAAUAAUCUAUGAAUAAAUUAAUGCAAGCAUAAUUAAUACAUGCAUUACUAUUGCAAUAAUUACUAAUACACUAUUUAGCAUUAUUUUUAUACACUACCAAACGACCCCCAACUGUCAUAAUAAACUUGUAUCAAGUAUGAUGAGUGGUUAUCAAAGUGACUGAAGAGGUUGUUUGAAGUUCGGUGCUAGGAACUGUUUAUGCAUUUAUUAAGCUAGUAAUACAGAAAAGAGUAAAAAGUCAACCUUAGAUCUAGAAAGCAUGCACCAAUUACAGAAAUCACAUUAUUAUUAGGUAUUGAGUCCUCCUAUGGUAUUCCACCUGUUGCUUGGUUUAGGUUUACAUUAUUAUUAGGUAUUAUGAAUCCUCGUGGGAUUUCACAGGGUAUGUUGUUGUUGUUGGAUGGUUGUAUCUGGCAAUAAUAGCUUGGACCAUUGCAGGAUUAACUGCAUUUCAUAUGUUUUGGAUGUACUACUUUCGAAGGGUAUGACUAAUAUAUUGGUUAAUACACUGAAUAUGAUCAUCAGACUCAUAUGCUACAGAAAGAAAAAGCAUAUUGUCACAUUUCAAAUCAAAACCAGCACAUUCUUGCAAAUGCAGAAUCCAUUGAAAGAACUCAAAAGCAGCACAUUCUUGAAGGUCACCUUACAAAUGGGUCGAGAAGGAUCCUUUAAGUUGACAAGCAAAUUGUCACAUUUCAGAUCAAAAUGCACAAUAUUCUUCGAGUGCAAAUAUUCCAUUCCAAAUGCAGCAUCCAUUGCAAUUAUGAGCCUCUUGCGACGAUCAAGGUGUCUGGACAGUUCAAGUAGGGAGGAGAACGUAAUAAGUUUUCAUGAAAAAAAAAAGAGAAAACAAAAAGAAUAAUUUAAGUGUACUAUCCAGUAUUCCCACACCUGUCCUUGCAAAGUAAAACAUGCCUAAGAGAACCAUUCACCAUGAACUCUGCUACUGUGGCAAGAGUCCCUCCUGGCCCAUCUUUCACUACACCAUAAAAUGCCACCACAUUGGGAUGAUGAAGUUUUGAAAGAAUUUCAGCUUCACGCCAAAACUCAGUCUGGAAAUAGUUCCCAAGUUCUGUCACGAAAUAGCUAGAGGAAAGAAAGCAGAAACAUGACCAAUAUAUGUACUUAAAAGCUCCUACUUACCAGUUAAAAGGUGUAUUUUUUAACCAAAAAAAUCUAUGUAUUCAAAAGCUUCUAUAAGUUUUUCAUUUUACAAAAUUCUAAACUGCAAUGAAGCUCUCUACCUGACUCUUUUUGAACUGCAACAAAAGCCAUUUCAAGUAUGUAUAUAGUAGCUUGGAAUAAUAUCAAGUAUCAAUUAGGUGUAGGAUUUACGUUUAAUCUCAUAAAUCAAGAGUCAACAUGAAAAUACUUCACAACUUCUACCACGAUAUAUACAGUGCAAACAGCAUGGUUUUUCUACCAAGGGCAACACAACAUUCUUUUUGGGGAUUUUUGUUCAACACCAACAAUACUGAAGUGUUCGAGUGGUGGAUAUUUUGGGUUUUGGGGCAAAAGGAUUGCCUCGUCAUCUCCCAACUAGGAGAUGAUUGUACUGAUAUUUUAUAACUAUUUACCUUCUUCUAGUUUAAUAUUAACAAUUGCAGUUUAAGAUGAAACUCACCAAUCUCUCCUGCUCUGAUGACCGACCUGUGAAACAGGUUUUUUUUAUUCUCUUGAUGGCAACAUCAGUCCCUCUCCAUUUUCCAUGAUAUACGGUCCCAAAUGUUCCAGAUCCUAAUUCCUUUAACUCUUCAAGAUCUUCAUUACUGAUUAUCUAUAACGGAAUGAAAGCAAGUUAACAACAAAGAUUGACAGAAAGAAUAGCUACAAGUACCCAUUUAAGCCCGAACUACUUUUAAAGAUGUUUGAUUGACUAUAAUGAAUGUACUUCAUUAAAAAAAGUGGCUACAAUGAACGUAUGAGAAUAGACUAAUAAAAUGUAGGAAACAAUCUAUAUACAAGCCAUAUGCAGAAACAAAAAGCAGUAAGAAUGACAAGCUCUCUCCUCCCCAACCCCAACCAACCUCCCACAAAGCACACAAUCAAAAACGAGAAAACAAUCCGCCACUUCUGAGGGCCUUCUCAUAUGAGAUUUCAUUUUGAUGGCUUCUAAAGAUCACUGGCUCCUUUAUUUUCUUGGGAUGCUUAUGAAGUUUGAAAUUUUCAAGGUUACAUCAACCUUCCAUUCAAAGAGACCUCUCGUGUGAUAAUUACCGAUUUUUUGUUCCCUUGUACAGCAAUACAACUGAUGUACCUACCAUGUUCGUUGUAUUUAAGAGUGCAAAAGGACGCGGUCCUUCACUUUCCACCUAUUACUGUGGUUCUUUGUUAUUUGGAAACCAUCUUAACUACAUAUAAUAUUCACUGCCAAAGGCUAAUAUUAAUAUACUUGCCUCAUUAAACCUCUGGUAUGUUCAAUUCAGUUGGAUCAUAUUUCUACCCCCGAGUAGUUUCUGGUAAUAUCAUAGAACUUUUUUCUUUUUCUUUUUUAAUUGGAUAUCAUAGGCCUUAAAACCAGCAUUGUAAUAGAUCCUCCUUCCCCUUAAUGUAAAAUAAUGGAACCUGAAAAAGAUUCUGGUCAAAACUACUGGAAUAUCCGCAUGAGUAGUAUAUCCAAUUCAGUUGAAAGACUAAAGGAGGUCAGUCUCGGGAAAAGUGCCUGAGCAUUUUUUCAGAAAUUUAGCAUUAAGAAAGGGUGAUGUAUUAUAAGUAAAUAAUUAGUGAAGUAGCAUCAUUCGUCUCCUCUUACUUCCUUCCAAGUACUUCUUUCCAAAAGUAGCCUUCUUUCUCUUUUUAAUUAUCAGGCAUCUAUUAUACCUAUAUUCAACCACCAAUAAAAAUACAUAUUUCACCAUGAAACAAAAGAUAAUAAAAAUUACUAGCUAAUGUCCACAGUACCUGCAAAGUGCUGGGAUCAAAGUCUCCAAGCGGGAGAUUGGUAAGCGGAAAGCCAGCAUUCUGAGCUCCUUGGUUCUCAUCCUUCAUGUUAUAUAAAAGGAUUUACUUCACCAUAUUAGCAUGUUACUGGAAAAUACAAUAAUUUCAAAUUGAAGCAAAAUAAUGCAGCUAGAAAUCUGAACUACUAAAAAAUACCUGAUAACCCGAUUCAGGUACUUUUGAACUCAAUUCAACAUCAUACUGCAUACUUUGAACGUCAGCGGUUUGAGAAGGGUUGUACCCGGAAGGCAAAUCCAUGGUGUCUGGGACAACAAUUUCAGGAGAUGCUUGCUGGAAUUCAGCUUCAAUAUUGAGCUGAGAGUCCAUAUGAUCUAUCAUUGGUCCAUCACCCUUGAAAGGAGGAUAGCCAUAAUCCAUAGAGACCCCAUCAUCAACAUUUGCACGAGUAGAAGACACACAAAGAUGAUCCUGAUCCAUCAAAGAGACAUUUCUUCUAUCAAAAUCACCUUGAGCUAUCUUUUGGAAAAAGGACCAGUUCUUUGGUUCAUGGUUCUCCAUAUUCAAGCUCAAACCAGUUCCAUCAUUGUACAGUGGGGCAGGUAUUGGUGAGGCAUCCAUAAGCUUGGCUUUGGAAAAUAUAUCAGCGAGAAAAUCACGGGGAAAGCAGUCAUUAAUGUCAAAAAGAAUGCUUCCAUGCUCAAGUGUACCAACAGUACCAGAGGGUAUCCCUGUGGAAACUGCUGCUCCAACCUGACACUCUUUCUCAGCCAAAGAGUGUAGUUGCUCUGCUUCUUUGUUUCCCUCGGCUCCAUGUGAAGAUGCAUCACCCCAAUGAAGCUCUGUCUUCCUGGAAGCAGACUCGGACUGGAUAUUAUUACUUAAGAUAGGAUCACUUAGUCCAGAUUUCACUUUCUCUGCAUAAGUUGCAGGUUUCAGCUCAGGCUUAUAAUUUGCUUCAGAAAGUUCUCCACCAACCUUGGUAUCAACUUCUCUCGCACUGACACUUAACUCUUGAGAUUCCUGAAGUUUUACCCCUUUAUCUGCAGUAGCAUGUUGAUUAUCAGAAAAAGAUCUUCCAGAAGGUAUAAAAUGCUCAGUCUGGGGAGCCACAUUCCCAUAUCUUCCAGAAGGUACAAAAUGCUCAGUCUGGGGAGCCACAUUCCCAUCGUUCAAUUUAUUAACGGAUUCUAUGAUCUGUUGUGAGCCUUCAGAAUAUGCAUGGGCCAUUAUGAAUUGCGAGGCAGCAGAAUCAUCAGAUUUGGAUAAACGAUUAAGGCCGGGCUGUUCCCUGGGUAUCCAUUCAGAGCGAAAAGUUCGUGGAGGAAUCGAUGGUUGUUCGUAGCUAAUGUCAUGUAGGUUUGCCCCCGAGUCUCCAUAGCCAGAAUUUGAUAUUCUACCAGAUCCGGAGAAGCCAUCUUCUGUGAACCUAUCAAGUUUUUCUUCCUCAACAGCUGCAGGAGAUGCUGAACUCUGAACUUGUUCCUGACUCUUGUCACUAAUUUUAGAUUGUAUAACAUCGUUUCCAAUAACUGCUACAGAAGUGAAACUCGGAACUUCAACUCUAGAAACGUGACUUGAGGCGGAAUCAUUCAGUGUGUUUGAGGAAACAACUUUUUUGCUUUCCAAAGGCCACAUUUUUUCAGGCUCAUUUAUUUUCUGAAAAGAGCUUUCUAUCUUUAUAUUUCCCUCCUCAGGCACUUCCUUCUCUCGAGGUUUUGCUUUACUAAGUUCAAACAUCUCCCGGGGAUAGUUAUCUCUUUUCAGAUUCAC